UUUCUCUCUCUCUGCCUGUCUCUCCCUGGAUGCCUUGCCUUGCCAACUCUCUUUCUGUCUCUUAUAGCCUCCUCCUCUUCCUUCCUUGUAGAGAGAAAGAGAGGGACACUAAGCGAGGCUUUGGUGGAUAAUUACUACUAGCACUAUUGUUAGAGAGAGAGAGAGAGGCAUGCAGCAAUAGUAAUAGUGAAUUGGUGGCCAAGGAAGACGCACGUACGUACGCUACCAAUUAAGUGUGAUUGAGAAAACAAGAGGUGUGUUAAAGCUGACUGCCUAGUAUAACUUGUGGACAGUUUAAUGGCCAUGCGUCUCCUAAUUCCUCUCCUGCCUGCUGCCUAAAUGUGUAAAACAUGCAUGCAUGCAUAUGUGCAUGUGUGUGUGCACGAGCGCUACUUAGAUGGAUAGCUUGUAUGUUUCAACAGCUACUACUAGCAAACCUUAAUUAAGCCACCAGCAAGACAUGCAUCUCCCCAAUUUCUAGCUAUGUAGUAGUAAUUAGUGCUAGUGGUAUACUCCUAUAUUUAGCCUUAAUUUCAUAUUUUUAGUGUGUGGGCUAGGAUUAAUGCUGUGACAGUGAGCACUCCACUAUUCAUUAGUUAACGUGAAGGGGCAUCUAUCACCACUACAGCUAAACAAUGAACGGAGUAUUCGCAAAAAAAAAGAACGAACGAAUGGAGAAAUAAAUUGAACAAGAGUUAUUAUUUGUGUUAAUUUGGAUUGCUUGUUACUCCUACUCCAAUUUGCAUUUGUACAUAUGCAGGUGUGGGUGUGGGGAGAGAAAGGGAUCUAAGCAGGAGUGGGGAGUGAGUAAUAGUAUAGCAGCUAGCAGCAUAUUCAGCAUAUAUUUCAGCAGCUAGCUAGCCAGGAUAGAAAGCAAGGUCUCCAACGCUCCAGCUCCAUGCAAAUAUUUUCUUUCGUGACGAUGAAUGAUUCCUUUCCUGGUGUGAUAGUGUCAGCCUGCAAGGCUGGAGCCACAGGAAAAAUGCUCUCUCAUCUCAUCUCUCCCUGCUAUUUUGUCACAUAUAUGCUCCUUUAUUGGUGGUUCAGUUAUUUCCAGAAAUACAAAAAAACUAAAUAACACCACCUGUUAAUAUGUAUACUACUAGCUAGGAACAUAUUAACCAAUACAGUUGUCUUUUGUUGUAAUUAGCAUGCAAUUCCCCCAUUGUUAAUAAUUAAUUAACAGCUUUUUUCUUCUUCCUUUUGUGAGCUGAUUAUUAUUUAUGCUGAUGAACAGCUAGCUUGCUUGCUUGACAGUUGGCAACUAAUAGUAGCUAGCUAACUAAAGAGGUGGUAGUGAGGCAGUGGUGGUGCAGGUGUCCCUCCCUAGUGCUAGUGGUGGCUGCUGGCCCCUGGCAGUACUAGCUUAGCAGGCGAGCCACAGAAAAAUAAUAAUGCCGCGCCUGCACUGCAAUUUGCUUGAUGCUUGUUCACUCACUAACCUCUCAUUCAGCAGCAACACAACUGCAACCAAUGCAAACGUUUCGUUCAGUUCAGCAGAUCGUCUGUCAUUAAUUUGCACUGCAGCUGCAGUUGACUUGCAUAUUGCAUCGCCUAAUCCUAGCUAAUAACAGUCACUUGCUUUCUAAGCUAAGCCAACCAAAAUCCAGCCCUACCAUUUCAUUCAGUUCGUGCAGCAGUGCCACUUCCAUCUUUCUCUCUCUCCAAACGUUCGUUACUGAUCGAUGCUAAUUAAUAGUUGUUAGUUAGUGGUUGCGUUUUUAUUUAUUCUUAAAAUUCGGUUUUCAUUUUACAAAAAUCGGGCGGACUGCCGGACUUUCUGCUUGGGUUUGGUGAUUUAUCGGUGCUAGCUUAGGGCCUUGUUUAGUUCACCCCGAAAUCUAAAAAGUUUUUAAGAUUUUCUGUCACAUCGAAUUUUAUGUCACAUGCAUGAAGCAUUAAAUAUAGACGAAAACAAAAACUAAUUACACAGUUUGACUGUAAAUCACGAGACGAAUCUUUUGAUUCUAGUUAGUCUAUAAUUGGAUAAUAUUUACCACAAACAAACGAAAGUGCUACAGUAGCGAAAUUCAAAAAAAAAUUCACUAAACAAGGCCUUUUAUAUAUGCAGUAGAUAGAUAGCUGCUGUGGCUACACUGUCUCAAUCAAAUGAGCUAGUGUCAUCGAUCGUCUUCAGAUUAAGAGCGAGAUAUAUUGGGUCACACUCACAACUAUCAACUACUGCUCCCGUACUCUUGCGUCAAAAUGACCAACUAGUAAAUUUUCUUUUGUAUCUGUUUUAGUAGUUUUUUUUGAGUAAUUAGUGGCAUUAUCAUUCAUAUAUCGUUCAAUCUCAAUCAUAGUAGUCGAUGCUUUUUUCAUGAAAAAGGAAAUGAUCGAUUGUGAAUUUUAUUUUAUAUAUGAAAUUAGCCUUCCUUGUAAUUAAAUAAGCAUAAGCAUUUCCCUGCAAAGAGGGAAAAUGGAGUCCUUGCAUUGCAUGAUACUCCUAUAUAUGUGUGGUGACUUGUGACUAGCUUAACUGUGUGAGAGAGAAGUCAACGGUUACAUGAAUAUGAAGAGAAAUGGGAAGGUAGUAGGAGGACACGCAUGAUUCUUGACGUGAGGAUCAAUGGGCCGGAAUUGUUAUACAUUUGCAUUGCUGUGUGGGGGCAAGCAAGGGCAACGAUAUAUAAUCUAGCUACCUCCUAAUUAAGAUAGCUAGUUUAGCAAUUAGAAAAAUAAAAAUCAAAGAACAGUAGUGAUUGGAUGCCAUAUACAUGAUGGCCGGCGAGGUGGGGGCAAGUAAGACAUCCAUCCAACCAUCCAUCACAUGGAAAGGAAAGCUAUAGCUGCCCUUGCUAAGUUGCCACUUAAUCAUCUCUGCUGCUACUCAUUAUAUACCUUAGCUAUAGAUCUUCUCUCACUCAAAUGGCCAAACAUGCACACACAUGACACAUGUACACUCACUUGCACUACAAUAAUAAUCCAAAGUUAUUAUCUAGCUAGUGUGUGUGUACAUGCCUUUCCUUGCCAAAACUAAAUAAAAAAAGGGGGGUGAGUGUCCUUGCACUGAGCUAGCUAGCUAGCUUGCCAUGAUCCUGCCUAUGAUUGGCAAUCAGCCGAGUUGUCCCUCAUGUGGAGAACCCUAGCUUUAAGGAUCCUAUUAUUAUAUAUAUGAUUAUCUGCUAGCUAGCUACCUAGUGCAUCCGAUCCAUCUCUCCUAGCAGCCAGAACAUGCAUAUGCUGAUAAUGCAAUGCACUCUUGCUUUGUAUGAGUGUGAUCAGUGUAUGCUAGAUUUAUUAUAUGAACCCAAAAGGUAAACUAAUAAUAAAUACGAGAUUAUGAAUAAGAAAUGUUUUUAUUUGUGCUACAAUCAGCCCGAUCCUCCCUCCAGUAACACGUAGGCCACCAGUACUAGACCAAGUACAUGCCACGGCACCAUCUCUCAGCUCCACAUUAUUAUUUUUCUUAAAAGAAUGUAUGUAUGAUGUCGUCAUUGCCUUAUCAGUCGAGUUAUAUAUCUUUCUUACGCCCACGGGCCAGCAUGGCCAUGGAUAUAGAUGGAGUUGAAAGUGUGUGCAGUGUGCUACUCCACUCAACAAGAUAGCUUUAACAGCAGCCAACAUCUGGCCAACCGCCCCUCGAUCGGUAAUUUGCAAACUAUUCCUCAGUAGUAGCUAGCCAUCAUACAAGAAAUUUUCACGAGGAGUGCUAGGAAAAAAUUAAAGAUAAGUUCUAGAAAUUCUCAUAAUAAUUAGAAACAUAUUGCAUUUAAUUUGGUAGACUCUCAUGUCUCACCAUCAUAACCAACAAUUGCCAUUGCAUCCCUUUUGUUUCUAAAUUAAAAAUUACCCACCAUUACCAUUGUGCGGAAAAAACAUUUCUAGUUUUAACUAAAUUCAGACAGAUGGAACGAAUUUGACGUAUCACAGCCUGCAGUUCUGAUCGCUUUACUGGAGAAAAGAAAAGGAGAACACAUUUAGGAAGCAAUUGGCAGAUGAAUUAAGCUAGCACCAACUUUGUAAUAUAUGCAACAGGAUUUACAAGAGUUGGCAGAUUGGAUUAUUGAUUGGUGUUGGAAGAGAACAUGUGGCGCAGUUGAAGGACACCAACCGUACCCCAGCCCACCUGCAUCUGACUAUUUCUGCAUACAAGUGGAUCGAAGUGGUGGCCUGCAUUUGAUCGAUUUUGUAUAUUUUGUAUCAUCACCCAACUCUAACUGUAUUAGUGGGACACUCGAUCACUGCUAGCUCUCAUAUGUAGUUUGCAGGGAGAUCAGCACUCAUAGUCUAGUUUAGUGAGUGGGCCACCACUCAUCGAUUCAAAUCAUACUCAUACCAAAUUAAUUAUAUUUUCUCUUUAUUACAAAAAAAAAACCAACCAACCAGAAUUGUUGUUUAACUGGCGCUUUUAACUUUCACCAUCAUCAUCAUCUAGACAUUCAAGCAGAUUGAUACCACAAAAUUGGUACUACUACUAGAUUAUUCAUGAUGAAAAACAAAAGUGUCACAAAAUAGAGAACUGUUUGAUUUCAGAUAAGUAUCUUAUAUGUUCACGGAUUUUUAUUCUAGUAGUUAAAUUAUAUAUUUAAAAAAAUAGCGGCCGUGCUCGGGCAUGUAUUUCAUUAAGAGGAAAUAUGACAUUGUACAAAUUAGCCCCUCAGCGCUAAAUAUCAUAUUGAAAGUCGUGUUCAUAUAUAAUGUUCUCAUAGACUUGAAGAAGAUUAGGUAGCUAGGAGAGACCUGGAUGAGGGAAAGAGAGCCGGGAGGAGGAGAUUGACUUGGCAUGCAUGAUAACAUCAUUCAGAAGUACAGCAAGUGUGCAUGUUGUGCUUGCUCCAAUGCAAGGUUAAGGAAUAAGAUUUGGAGCUAGCCGGGCAGCUAGCAAAUGCAAGCUGCGGGGAUGCAUCUCGCUGUCAUGCUUAGAGAUGAGCGUUAAUCACGAUGCCCCCAACUAACUGACAGACAGACAGACAUGUCCUCCAAACGAAGCAUCGGCAAGCCGAGUAGUACUCAGUAUGCAAGCGACACUUGUGCACAGCAUAAAUGUAGCUGAGAAUAUUAAAGCCUUGUUGUUAGAGGUUAUGCCUGCCUUGUUGCUGAUGAAUGGACUUCAGCCUAGCUAGCUCUUGUUGUAUAUAUUAGUAAUAAUAUAUAUUUAGUGGCGUGGAGUGGAGGGAGAGUGUGGAUGCUGGUAUAUGCUAGCUUCAUCUCUCUGUCCCUCUCUCUCUCUCUCUCUCUCUCUCUCUCUCUCUCUCUCUCUGUGUGUGUGUGUGUGUGUGUGUGUGUGUGUGUGUGUGUGUGUGUGUGUGUGUGUGUGUGUGUGGUUGAUGCCUUCCACCUUGAGAGGAGGAGGAGGAGGAAGAGUGUGGCAGGCAAGUGCAUGUUUGGCUUUGCUCAUGGUCAUGGGCAACCUACCACUGCCACCACCCUCCCAGGCUCAGAUUUCAUUCACACAAGACACUAUACUCUGAUUGGUGGUGGACAGGGGAAGGCAACCUGCAGAUUUAUUCCUCCCCCUGCAACCACAUGCAUGUGCUAGAAUCAUCUUUUGUUCCUUGUCACAAGUCUUGCAUCUAUGCCAUCCCUCUUUGCAUUGCUACAUGCAUGGAAGGCAGAGUGAGUCCAUGCAUGUUGCUGCUGCUGAUUAGUUAGUUAGUUCAUCAACAACAUGGUGGCAUGGACUGAUGAUAACCACAUACACACGUAUAAUGCUACCUAGAUGCAUCUUCAGAGUUGAAACAUUAAUGGAUCAUGCUUCACGAAAGUAGAUUAGGUAGUGGCCGGAUGACACCAAAACCAAACUUGUGAAUCCUUCUUUAUUUCCCUAAUCAUAUACAGUACUUAGUUCCCUACGGUCAACUUACUAGCUCCCUGGUGAGGUUAGCUCCAUGAGUUAACCUUUGUGUCUUCACUCUAAAAAAAAUGGAUAUGACCAUUUAACCAACUGGAUAAAUGCUAUGUUAAGCAGAAGCCAACAUUAUUCUCCUGCUAUAUAUAUAUGAGAUGAGAAAGAGAGAAAGUGAGAGAGAACUAGACAGAGAUAGAGAAUCGGCAAAGAGAAUAAAAAGGACAGAACAAGAUCCUUGCAUUAUUAUUCACCAAUAAGACAAGAGGUACAAAGAGAACUUUACCAACUCCAACAAAAAAAAACUUAACCAACCAAUAUCAGGCAAGGUCUUUUUUUUUAAUAUAAAAUACUACAAGCUUGCUAUCUUUAGCAGCCAGUAGGAGCUCUCUGCUCUCACUGCUCCCUACUAGUCACUAGCAGAACAGAGCUGCCCCUCUUAUCCAAGAACUAUACUACACUGAGCAACAGAAUCCACAAAAAGGAAACUAGUAACUAACUAGUGACAAGAUCUCUCUCCCUCAACAGUGGGCCCCUGACCACGACCUGAAAUGAUGGCGGGACUACAUAUAUAUAUACAAAUAAUGGUAAAAGGAAAUUCAAUCUGGUAGGAGAUGAAAAAUUGUGGCCUUUCUUUUUCUUGCUUUCUUCUUUCUGGAAAAGUCGUUACAAAAACGACCACUCGUAUGAAUACCCUUUUGAGCAUGCAAAGUUUCCAGGCUACAGCAGUUUUGUUUGUUCCCAUCCCAUUCCCAUGCCUAGAAGUCUAGAACCACACUGAUGAGUGAUCACUCAUCCAUGCAUAUAGUACAGCAUAGCUGCAGUUAGUAGUAUGUAUUGAUUCUUCAGAAGUUCAGACACUGAAUUUCAUAUGUUAUAUAAUCUAUAUGAUCCAUGGAUUGAUGGAUCAGAGAUUACUACAUAUUAAUUGAGUCCAGAAGGUUUGUAUAUUUUCACCAAGUUGUAGGCAUGCCUAACUACUGGAGUAUGGUUUAGUUAGGCAACCGGCCAAAAUGUUGCAGUGCAGUGGAAGGCAAGUGUGUGCUUCACUGAAAACUGGUGGCGAGUGAAUGAGUGAUGAAUGAACCAGUUGAUGCAUGGCCUACUUUCAGCUCCAACCUAAACUCUGCUUCCAAAGUUAGCAACUUGAAGUCCCAGCAGUAGUACUGUGUGUGUCCAUCUCAUAUAUAUCAUGGCAUGGAAAAGAGAAAAUUGGGCAUGCAUAUAUGCCGGCCUUUUUAUUUGCAGAUUAUAUAUAUAUAUAUAUAUAUAUAUAUAUAUAUAUAUAUAUAUAUAUAUAUAUAUAUAUAUAUAUAUAUAUAUAUAUAUAUAUAUAUAUAUAUAUAUAUAUAUAUAUAUACUAUUGGUUGGGUGGAUAGCUGUAUAUGUGCACUGACUUUUGUAAUAGACUGUAAUUGGGAGUGAUAUAUAACUCGAUCUAGAGAAACUACACACAUUUAUCCAGAUGUUUAUCUUUGCACUUGUUAUCCACUCAUAUAUAGCUAUCGACGACGUACUAGAACACAAGUAUAUAAAUUUUUGCUGGCCACAAGAAAAGAAAAAGAAAGAAGCAUAUAUAUAUAUAGCUAGGCAGGCAGGUGGCAAUCGUAUGCCCAGAGCCCACACACACCACACAUGCAUAGGCAGGGCAGCAGAGCCACUAGAUAGAGUGCCACUCACUGCAGGUAGGCAGCAGCACACGUAGACAAGUGAUCUACUUAGGCCUUGUUUAGUUCAAAAAAACUUUGCAAAAUCGACACUGUAGCACUUUCGUUUGUAUUUGACAAAUAUUGUCCAAUCAUGGACUAAUUAGACUCAAAAAAUUCGUCUUGUCAAUUUCGACCAAACUGUGUAAUUAGUUUUUAUUUUCAUCUAUAUUUAAUACUCUAUGCAUACAUCUAAAAAUUCGAUGUGACGAAGAAUCUGAAAAAUUUUGCAAAAUUUUUUGGGAACUAAACAAGGCCUUAACUACUAGUAGCUAGUAGGAAUACUGAAGUGGCUCCUGUCCUGUGUGCCCCUAGACAAGUGAUAAGUGGCGGCGGCGGCAGCAGCAGCAGGGUUUCUCUUUCUCAGUGGUACCAGUGGCGGAGUGGCCAGUAUGUAGCAGAUGGAUGGAUGGAAAGAUAGAUGUUCUGUUAGCAGCAGCAGCAAAAGCGACUGCUUUUAUAUAUAUAUAUAUAUAUAUAUAUAUAUAUAUAUAAUCCGUAGUUUGCAAAUAAAGCAGACAAGAAGGGAGCGAACAAGGCAGCAGCCAUGACUUAUCGGCGAAACGAAACGAAGAAACGGCGCUGAUGAAUCGGAUGCCGGAUGCUCCUCUCCUCUGUGGAUUGAGGAGAGAGGACGACAGCAGGACAGAGGACAGGGACACAUGCACACAGAAGACAGGAGCUAGUAGCAGCAUUGCAUGCAACCUGUGGAAGGCAAGGCAAGGCAAGGAAAGCAAGAGCCUCGCCGGCACCGCGCGCACCAUAUUCUUCCGUGACUGACGGCGACGCUGCAACCGAUUGAUCCUCUACACGUACUCACUGAAUGAUCGAAUCCAACACGUACGUACGUACGUACUCAGUCAUUUAGCUAGCUUGUUGAAAUUGUUUAAACACUGCCUGCCCGUGUAGUUAGGCCUUGUUUAGAUCCAAAUUUUUUUAGAUUUUAACACUGUAGCACUUUCGUUUUUAUUUGACAAACAUUAUCCAAUUAUGAAGCAACUAGGUUUAAAAGAUUCGUCUCGUGAUUUACAGAUAAACUGUGCAAUUAGUUAUCUUUUUUAUCUAUAUUUAAUGUUUCAUGCAUAUGCCGUAAGAUUCGAUGUGAUGGGGAAUCUUGUAAAGUUUUAGGUUUUAUAUAUAUAUAUAUAUAUAUAUAUAUAUAUAUAUAUAUAUAUAUAUAUAUAUAUAUAUAUAUAUAUAUAUAUAUAUAUAUAUAUAUAUUUGGUGUUCGUGGCCACAAUCUGUGUCUUCCCUCGCUCGCUUCAAAAGCAAAUGAAAGGCCAGCCACCAUCUCCGAUCCGUCCUUAAUUAAUCCUGCUCAUGCAUGCAUGUCACUCAUGCAUCCAUCCGGCCUCCUCCUGCUCGAUCCCCUUGUUCGACACAUGCCGCAUCGUAGUAUCUACAAUCAUAUUGCACGCAUGAUUCCCAAUUGCUUUUCUUUUUUCCCCAGCCCUUUUUGUGAUACUCAUGCCCACACCAGGACCAGCACACCGCUAUUCUUAAAUUUUUUUUAAAAAAAUGCGAAGAAUGACUUAAAUACAACUUAUUUUUAACUUAUUGCACUUAAACUUUUUUUUGUCCGGCUUUGAAUCACUUGUGAACAUUCCAUUUUGGCGUUGAUUCUUGCGAUUCUCUUGAGAAACCAGACGGUUUCCUCUUGCUUGUCUCUAUUGCUCUGUUGCUGGCUGAUGCUGCGCCACCAAAACCAAAUUCAGAUAUACUCCACACAUGGAGUAUGUUGCAUGCAUGCCUUUAACCUACUGCCUUUUGGGAUCGGAUGCCAUAUGCUAGGUUGAAGAGUGGUGUUGUGCAGCUAUCUCCUCACUCGUCCCACUCGCCUGUGGUUGCCAAUUAGCUUGCUUGUCACGCGCUUUCAGACCUUGCUUUUAGGUUCCUCUUGUACUCUAUUUUGUUUUUUAUUUAAGCUUAUGAGAAGAUAGACAAUUCACUUUAAAUUUCAACACUCUGUCACGCAUCAAAUUAUUAUUUUUUAUUUUGAUUGUACUUGUUAGGAUCCAAACUCCAAAUCUCUCGCGGGGCUAGAUAGCGUAUUGAGUUGCUUACACCAAUGGAUUCAACCCAAAAGCUUAAGAUGAUGUUCAAUGUAGAAAAGUUUAUUUUAUAUUUCAACAUUUCAAAUAUAAAAAGGUCAAUUUGGAGCAUGACAACUUGUAAUGGUGUAUCUCCUCAAUUUCUAGCAUGGCCAAGGGUAAAAUAAGUAAAACUAAGUUACACAAACUUUUAAACAGUAGAAGUAAAACACUAUGAAGUUGAUAACAUAGACAUUCGUCAAUAAUAUAGACCACAUGGACUAUGGUGAAAGACCAUUGCAAGCAAUUGCGCAAAAAGAAAGCCUUUAACCUCCUUACUUUAAACUACCGUUGUCGUCUGAUUUACCUCGUCAAAAUCUAAAACAGCACAUCUUAUCUCCUAAUGUCUCAAUUACCUCCAUAGCCUGGUUUGAAGCGAUUUUGAAUGUGGUUUUGUCUGUUUUUAUUAAAAAUCUAGGAAAUACUUGAUAAAACCACGUAAAAUGUCUAUAAGAAUCUAAAAAUGUUGACAAAAAUCCUGGAGAUAGAUUUAAAUGUGGCAAAUCUAAAUAAAAAUAUCUCUAUAAGCUUCCAAUAUUAUAUUUGGAUCUAUAAAGUUAGGGAAAAUAUCUAGAAAAUUAUGGGAAAAAUCUCGAAACACAGUAAUUGAUGUUUAAACAUGUUUUGAAAAGUUUCCACACAAAAAUAAGUAUGAUGCAACUAGUAUUCAUCUUAUAUUUUUGUUGUGAAAAGUUUUUGAAACACAUUUAGGCACGGAUUAGAAUGUUUUGUGAUUUCCUAGAGCUAAAUCUAUUUUUUUAAAAGCUAUAUAUUUUCAUGAGCUCUGAAUAUUUUAUUAAGGUUUACAUGUCCUAAUAUACCUCUAGUAUUUUUCUCAGAAUUUUUAGAAGCUUAGAAUUUUUUAUGGUUUAAUAUCUUAUUAAGUAUUUAUUGGUAUUUUAUUAACUAAAAUUAGUACGAAACUGCUUUCAAAACCUCUUCAAUCCUGUGUACGGAGGUAAUUUGAAUGGUUUUAAGAGUACAUGAUAUGAUAUGUCUAACUUUAGAGUUGGAGGAGUAAAAUCAGACCAAGCUGAUAUUUCAGGGAGGUAAACUGGAUUUUGCUUUUCAGUUUUUUUUUUUUUUUUUUGAGCAGAACUUUCUAACUGUGUGUGCACCACUGCAGCUAACGUCCCUUGACAAUUGGGCCCUGGAUGGGGAUUCUGCGCUAUAUCAUAUUCACGUUAGGCAAUUGGGCCGGCCCAAUACGGCGCCUAGCAGCUAGCACUUUAUUCUUUUCCUUUCUUGAUGCUGCUUUUUCCCCUCUUCUUUGCAGCAGCCAGCAGUAUACCUAGGCAUGCAGCCCGAGCCCGUGAGCACAGCCCAAAACCCAUCAUUUUGGCUCGGCCCUAGCUCAGCCCAGCCCGAAGGUCAUUGGGCUCAGGCUGGCAUGACACGGGGGUGCAGGCCGUGCUUGGGCCGCACUUUAGGCCCGCAGGCCAGCACGGCCCGGCCCGCCAAAUAACGACAUUGCACAAAACAACUCAUUUUGAUAUCUAAAUCUAUUCUCUACAUCUGUCAUCUGUAUUUGAAUGUGUUCUUUAUACUGAUGAAGUGAUGAACUGAUGGAUGUGUUUGAAAUCUGUUUUAAAUCUAUGUUUAUUGAUAUAUUAUCUGUUCAACGGGCUAUGGGCUGGCCCGGCCCUCCAUUUUUUGUCGUUCUGACAGACCAGCCUGGUACGCAAAAAGACCCACAGGUGUAAGUGCAUCUAGCCCUUUAGUGGGUUUUGGUGAAUUGAAUGACAACACAGUUAAAGGUCUAACAAGUUUGCUAAGUGUAUCAAAGGUUCAACUAGAAAGCAAACUUGAUGGUAUUUCACAUAAUGUUUAAAUGAAGACCAAAGUUGUGUAUUGUUAUAAACUGAAGCUUGAUUGGUAUCAACACUCAUAUCAAGAAGAUAUUCAAGCAAGGAUCACAAUAUUGAAGAAAUGGUUUUUCAAUGGAUGCUUAACAUGAUGUGACUUGAGUAUGGCUCGAUAGGGUGAAGAUAGCAAGGAAAGGGCUUCGAGGGACUAAGCGAACGUGAAGGGCAAGCAAUGGCUUGUAGACCGAGGUACCAUGGCUAAGGUGAAGAAGAGAGUACUUGCAUUGAGUCGAGGUACUAAUUGAGCUAUGAGGAGUCAUUGUGUUGAGGAUCAAAUCAUUAGUGGAAGUGACUUGAAGCCAUGGAUUGAACUCACAUGUGUUGAAAUGAUUCAAGUCACAUGCUCAAGCUAUAUUUACUCAAAGAGAGGAGACAAAGUUAAUUGCAUCCCUAAUGAAGUGAUAGUGAGAAGUGGCAUAUGAAGACAUUGAAGACUCAAGUGGUUAAAAUGGUUAUAUACUUUUGAUCUUGAGUUUAGGAUAUGCCGUACUAUAAAGAGGGAUGCAAAUUUAGUUGGUCUGAGGAAGAUAGAGUGCUCAAGUAUUAAAACUAAAUCAAAAGAGAGACACUCUAGCACUUCACGAGCACGUAGAAUAGUUUUGUAUGACUUGGGGUGUCGGAAGUCCCGACGUACGUCGGAACUGAUGACGUAUGUCGGAAGUGAUGACGUUCGUCGGAAGUCCCGACACCUGACCCUCUUGCUACCUCUGCUCGCGCUUGCGUCGGAAGUCCCGACGCGCGUCGGAACUGAUGACGCAUGUCGGAAGUGAUGACGUUCGUCGGAAGUCCCGACACCUGGCCCUCUUGCUACCUCUGCUCGCGCUUGUGUCGGAAGUCCCGACGUACGUCGGAACUGAUGACCUGUCGGAAGUGAUGACAUGUGUCAGAACUGAUGACGCGUCGGAACUGAUGACGUGUGUCGGAACUGAUGACGUUGACUGGUUUUGUGCAGACUUCUGACUAAGGUGAACAAUGUUUUUAGUGUAUGUUAGAAGUCCCGAGAUCCACGUCGGAACUUCCGACGUAGAUCUGAACGGUUAGUUUCCAGCUUCUUGUAUAAAUAGUUGUCUCCUCACUUCUAACCGUUGGCUCACUCUUCCACUCGACUAAACCUUCGGCCAAGGCACCUCUCUAGCUCCCAAAAGCUCCUCUCUUCUAUCCCCUUUGCUCCUAACUUCAAAUCUUGCAAGAGAUUGAGUGAGAGAAGGAUUCUUGGUGAGAGAAACAUCAAAGCAAAGCUUGAGCACUUGAUUUCUUUGUCAAGCCGGUUGGAUUUGUGUUUGUUACUCUUGGAGCAAGGCUCGUAGCCGGCUAGGCGUUGCCCGUGGAGCUUCCAACUUAUGUGGUAGUCCCGGGAGGUUUGUAAUCACUCAAAUCAUCUAGUGAAAUCACCCCUCAUCUCAAGAGAUUGCUCUCUUGACUUGAGAACGAGGAUAGGGUUGAAAGAGACCCGAAAAGCUUGUGUGGCUUCCUCAACAACGUGGACAUAGGCAAGCCUUGGUGGCGAGCGGAACCACGGGAUAAAUACCUUGUCACUUUGUGUUCUUGCUAUUUGUGUUGCUCUCUACUUGCUUAUUUGUGAUUCUAGGGUUUGGUCCCGAUCUACAAAUUGGUGGCUCUCUAAGGUCAAGGAAGCACUUGGAUAACUUCAUCUUACCACUAGGAAGUGGGGUUGUAAGUUAUUGGCUUCACAAAGUUCAUUUAAGCACUUGCAGUUCAUUUCCCGUAGGCGUCGGAACUUCUGACAGUUUACGUUGGAACUUCUGACGACGUCGGAAGUUCCGACCUAAACUGUCAUCACUUCCGACAGUUGCUGACAAGUGACUUUGAGUUGUGUAGAAAUUUUUAGAUACGCCUAUUCACCCCUCUCUAGGGGGCAUCAAGGUCCUUACAACAGGCCCAUGCCUGGGCCGGAGGUCAGGCACGCAGGCCGGUAAAGCACGGCCCACAAGGCAUGACGUGCCCCCUCGGCCCGUUAAGCAACGUGUCGGGCCGGCACGGUGUCGUGGCAUACCGGGCUGGGCCAGCCCGUUGCCCAAGUAUAGCCAGCAGACAAACUACUAAAAUCUCUCUCUAUCUGAUCCGAAUCCGAUCCGCCGCCUACUGUGCGUCGUUUCUUCAGAGUUUUUUUAAUAUUAUAUGGAGUGAUAAUAAUAAAGUAAACGAAGAAUUCCGUCCGUUCAGUUUUUUUUCUCAUCAUCAGAAUUCAGAUUUGUGGCAAACCACAAUCACUACUAUCAGUAGUAGUUUCUCAUCAUCAGAAUUCAGAUUUUUUUAACAAAGAAAGUGUAACGCGUUAAGCUGAUAUAUGCGUGAUCAAGGUAUACAUAUCACAUAUGAUGGGAAUCCAUCUAGCUGGAGUGCAGAUAUAAUCUAUUGCCUUUUUAAUAUGUAAAGCAAGAAUUUGCUGAUGAUGGAGGACUUGACAACAGCGAUCAAUUUCACCAGGGCGCAUUGGAUCCACGAUCAGAGUAAUAGCCACUGCCGGUGUCCAUUGCCUCUGCGCAAGGACAGUGGAAAUAUUUUGCCGCCUCAAUCACUCCUGUCUCUGUGACAGCUUCCAUGGCUGAAGGUCACUAGCUCUGACCAUAUUUUGCUAAAGCGAAAGACAAAUGAGCUAGCUCACUCUCAUACAUUUCAUCUAGAGAGAGAUGGGCUUCCUCCAAGACUGUCUCCCAGGCCGAACAUCCAGCGACCAAAUGUAAGUUCAUCGUGCCAACUGCCAAGUCAGUGCCUGCCAUCAUCGUGAGGUGUUGGCAUGAUGCAAAAGAAAAGGACAAAUCAGAUGGUUAUACUAUGAUAAAGGGAAACAAAAAGCAUGAACCCUAUUGCAAUACCAGCGUACUUUGAUUAACUUCACUGUGGUGCCGAUUAUUUGACAAAAAUAAAGGAUCCAGUGCUAAUAUUAUGAGUACUAAUCUCCAAUAGAAAUUCCAAAUUUUGUUAUAUGAAAGGCAUGUUUAACUUAAUAGUGUGUAUAGCUAACUCCAGCUGACACACUAAUCUGAAUAUAAUUUGCUUUUGUUUUGAGGUAUACCUCAAUGCAGUAGGGGAGGAUCAAAACUGCAUCAAACCAAAACAUCCAAUGCCGUGAUUCUGCAGCUGCAGUGCUGCACAUGAACUUUUUGAGCAUUACUAUCUUUCUGUGACUUAAUCAGAGUGUAUCAUAAAUCAACGCACUUGAAAAAUGGAUGCCAUCAGGGAGGACAAUAAUGGACAAAAUUUAUAUAAAAAAGAUAAACUCAAACAAAGUAAAACAUAACGAUAAAUUGAUCAGCUAUUGAUUUUCUUAUUCCCAUGCUAUCUUGACUCAAAAACUGCAGCCAAACUUUUGCAUUGUUGAAUGUUGAUUGGAAGUACCCUGCAGAAUUCUAGCCUAUAUAUCCAUCACACUGACGUAUGCAUAUCACAUAGGGACAACAGAAUAACUGGUUGGUAAAAUAAAACAGAGCAGGGGCAUCUGAAGAAGUGUUGCAAUAAAAUCAUAGCAGAGUAAAAGUUAUCUAAAGGUGUAUUGGGGCUAGAAUUAAACAUUUAAUCUUUGUAUGGAGUUGCUUUAGAAACUACAGAUGCUCAGUUAUGGUAUUCCAAUCCUAAAUCUGCAGCCGCAGAAUGUUCCAUGACCUUGAUGGAUAGGAAAGAGGCCGGCUACAACAACAAUCCCAACACAAGAUGGUGAAGGAUGCAAAAUCAGGACUUUACUUUGUCAUAUAGCAUCAUUUGUUGAAGAGAGGAACCAACUUACUGUGUUCCAAAAAUAGCUCUUCUCCAUCUAUGGUAUGCACAUAAAACAUGUUCUGAUGAUCAUGCUCGUGGAAACUACAAAAGGAGAAAAGAGCAAAUAAACAAAUAAUCAAAAGGCAGAUGAGAAAUGGAUUCAUCAGCAGGGAUCUUUAAACUACACACAGGGCCUUUAGAACAAUAACCUGCAGGAAUGGCAGAGUAAUCGGCAUCUACACGGCUAAUGGACUAACGAAAACAAUGGUGAACAGAAACGACACAUGAUUUGUGCAAUAACCACAAAGGAUUUACACGUGGUCUGAAAUUGUCGUAACGUUAUUAUACGUGUCCAGUUUUUUCUUUAUUUUUCAAGGAAAGGAACAUACUGUCUAUUUUCAAUGCAUUUUUUUGAACAUAUUUAAUUCUUCCAUUGGUUCCUUUUGCUGAAAGUUUAUCAAAGAUUUCAGAAUGCCUCUAGUUGGUCAUUGUGCUAAAUAUAUCCUAUAAGAACAGGCCAUCAACUCAAAGGGAAACCCUCAUGGGCAUCGAAGAAUACUAGGAUGAUCACCCGUGCAUGCCAUUACAUAAACUAAUGUGGUAACAAAAAAUUCCAAAGAAACCAUAUGCAUAAGAUCUUAUGUGGACAUGAAUCGACACUUGGUUAGUAGUUCUAGAUAUCUCUGUAUUCAAAAUCCUAUCAGAUGGGGUGAACUUCACCAGAAAUCUCUACAUUUGCCUAUGAAGACUUUUUUUUUUCUCUCGCUCCAUUCCUUGGCAUAUUAGACAAGUAGCUCAAAACUUCGAACCCAAAGCUUGGCAUUGUGUUACUGUCAUGACUGCUCAUGAUAUUUAGAGUAAUACCAUGAAAGUGAGCGGAAACAGAAAGGUGUACUAAUUUCAAUGAUACUGCUUUCUGCCUCUCGGACCUUAUUCUGAUCCCACAAAGAUCACUCUUACAUAUCAGGUCAUUGUCGUAUCCUUAUCAAUUAUCAUAGCUCCAAUCAGAUGAUUUCUACUCCCUCUGUUCCAAAUUAUAAGACAUUUUGGCUUUUCUAGAUACAUUGCUUUUACAAUGUAUCUAGACAUACUGUGUAUCUAGAUGCAUAUAAAAAAUUAUGCAUCUAGAGAAGCCAAAACAUCUUAUAAUUUGGAGUGGAGAGAGUAGUAACCAAUGUUGCCUAAUAUAAUCAAACAUGUUAACCAGCAGAUUGAAUAAAAGCAUACUUUUGUAAUGCAAGAAAUAGAUCACCUCAACUUUAUGGAAGUGCAAGCAGUCAAUAAGCUGGUUAGCAGAAAGCCAAGUUUACUUAUGUCAUCCAAGCCAUUAACAACUGUAGGAGGUCACCAAUCAACACAGAUUUGAAACCUGCAUAAAUUCAAGAAAAAAUGUAGGUGUAAAUAUUAUUAACGAAGCAUACCCCAGCUGCAAAACCCACAAAAGCUGAAUACAAUAACCAAUAAGUCCAGCAAGAGUUGUCUUUGGUCACCUAGAUGGCGGGGUAACGAUACUUACAGUGUAAAACAGUCUCAACCUCAUAUGCAUUUAGUUCAUUGGUGGUGCUUCAGUCCAUAAACCCUGAGUAACAAAAUGCCCAACACCUUUCUGUCCAGGGGUAGAGUAUAGCACAAGUAUACAUUUUUGGGUUUCAGCUUGUUAGCCAGUGUAAGUCAAGACAUCAAACUGUUCUUCUGAAACACCUACCAGUCAGGACAUCAAACUGUUCUUCUGAAACACCUGCAUUUGCUAUGAUCUCUUUAUGCACGAAACAACAUAUCUGGCCUAGCUGGAAGAUACUUCAGUUAGGACCCCUUCUUGCAACUGUAAAGUUCUGGGAGAAUCAUCUCAUUAGACUAUCGUAGGCAGUAAUAUAUUGACACUUCAUUUUUUCCCCUAAACCUUGAAAAGGGUCUCAAGUAAACGUCGAGCUUCCCAAGUCAUGUCCGGCCUUGAAAAUGCUCUGGACAUAGAACUGAUAGUGCCUUUGGAUGGUUUAAAUUCUACCUCUUUCAUAUCUUUGAGAAGUAUUCUUACCUCAGUUCCAUUUCUAAGCUUUGACCAUCCAUUCAAAAGGGUAUCAUAAGUUCAGGAAGCAUGUAAAACUCCUCUCCUUUUCAUCUCACUGAACAACUCUUUAUGCAUGAUGGCAUUUCUGGCCUAGCUGUAAGACACUCCAACAGUUAGAAACCCUUCUUGCAACUGUAAAGUUCUGGGAGAAUCAUCUCACUAGACCAUCCUAGGCAGAUAAUAAAUUGACACUUCAUCUUUUUCCCCUAAACCUUGAAAAGGGUCUUAAGUAAACGUCGAGCUUCCCCAGUCAUGCCCGGCCUUGAAAAUGCUCUGGACAUAGAACUGAUAGUGCCUUUAGAUGGUUUAAAUCCUAGCUCUUUCAUAUCUUUGAGAAGUAUUCUUACCUCAAUUCCAUUUCUAAGCUUUGACCAUCCAUUCAAAAGGAUAUCAUAAGUUGAUGAUGUGUGUAAAACUCCUCUCCUUUUCAUCUCACUGAACAAUUCUUUAGCUUGAUUCAUCAUUCCAGCUUUAGCAAAGUCACUCAUGAGUGAAUUAUACGUGCUUGCUUUGGGAAUAAAGCCUUUACUCACCAUCUCACAAUACAGCCUCAGUGCUUCAACUUUGUUGCUUUUCUUUGCAUAUCCUGUCACCAGUAUAUCAUAGGUGAGAUUAUUGGGCUCAAGGCCCACCUUCUUCAUAUCACUGAGAACAGUAUCCGCUUCGCCAAUUCUACCAGCAGACUCAAGGCCACCCAGAAGUGUGUUAAAUGUAGCUAUAUUAGGUGAGAGCCCUUGAUGAAGCAUCUGAGCAUAGAUUGCAAAUGCAUUAUCCAGAUGGCUGCUCUUACAAUGGCCAAGAAUGAGAGCAUUGAAUGUGAUAGUGUCUGGUGCAAUUCCUCUCGUCAACAUUUCAUCCAAAACAACUGUAGCAUUCCUUGCCAUUCCAUGGCAACACAAAACAUGCACGAGUGUAUUAUAGACAGUGAUAUCAGCAUGAAGACCAGCACCCAUCAUCAACUCAUGAAUUUCCAAAAUCACAUCUGGCCUCCGGCUUCCAGAACAUGCUUGCAGCACCCUUUGAUGAGUCAGAGAGGUCGGAGCGAAUCCAGCAGAAGCCAUCUCAUUUAGCAAAAAUUUUGCCUUUUUCACAACCCCGGCCUCAAGAAGGCCCACAACAAGUGUAGUAUAUGUGAUUAGAUUAGGCUUUAUUGAAUUCCGCUUCAUUUCUUUCAGUAGCUUUAGAGCUUUGGAGGUCUUUCCUUCCCUGCACCGUGCAGCAAUCAUAGUGUUAUAUGUUGCUUGAUCAGGUUCUAAGCCUGUAUUUCUCAUCUCUUUCAAAAAGGAUUUUGCUUCACUGAACUUGCCAAGCGUGCAAAGGCAAUUGAUAAACACAUUAUAGACAACAGCAUCAGGUGACAGGUUUUUCUCCAUCAACUCCUGACCAACCUUAAAAGCAGCUGGCAUGUUUCCUGUUUUAAAAAGCCCAUCCAUUAAGGUGGUAUAAUUGACAUGGUCAAGCAACAGACCACGUUCAUCCAUAUCUUUAAAUAAUGCUUCAGCUCCUUCUAUAUUCCCAUUCUUUCUCAAACCAUUCACCAGUGAGUCAACGACAAAGUUGUUUGCCUCAACACCCUCAUGCAACAUAUCACGGUACACAUCAAGAGCUGCUUCUUGCCCCUGGAACUUGAAGAAGCCAUCGAUAAGUGUUCCAUAAGUCACAACAUUAGGAGCAAUGCCACUGUCCUUCAUCUUCCUCAUAUAAUCAGCUGCUUUGCCGAGGCAUCCCCUUUUAACAAGACCAUUGAUGAUCGAUGAGAAUGUGACAACAUUCGGGAUAACAGAUUUCUCCUCCAUUUGCAACAACACCUGCUCUGCACCAUCGAUAUUGCCAGCUCUGCAGUGUGCAUCGACCAGUACAGUGUAAGUUACAAAGUUGGGAGUAAUAUUAUCCGACUGAGCAUGCCGAAGCACAUCCUUAGCUUCCUCAAUCUUCCCUUCCUUACCUAAACGGUCCAUCAGAGCUGUAUACAUGACCAGAUCCAUGACCACGCCCCUUGAAACCAUCUCUCCCAAUAGACCAAGUGACUCACUGCCCCUCCGCGCUUUCGCUAAUGAAUCAAUAAGCGUACAAUAGGUCACAUGGUUCGGCGCGACUCCGAUCUUGUCCAUCUCCCUGAAAAGCGCAUAUGCCUCUGAGAACUGGCCAUCCCUGCAGAGGCCAUCGACAAGAGCACUGAGCGUGACCACAUCAGGCAGCACACCCGACCUGACCAUCCCCUCGUACAAACUGAAUGCCUCGUCCAUCCCCUUCCCCUUACAAUACUCCCCGAUGAGGGCCGUGUACGUCACCACAUUCGGCUCCACCCCAUCCGCCUUCAUCCUCUCCACUACCUCCAGUGCAGCAUCAGCAUCGCCGGAGUGGAAGAACCCGGCAACCAAGGAAUUAUACCCCACCACGUCAAGCGCCACCCCUUGUGUUGUCAUCCUCUCCACCACCGCCAAAGCCGCGGCCAUGUCCUGGACUUUACAGUAGCCGUCAAUGAGAGCAUUCCAUCCCACCACAUCCAAUCCAUCAAUUCCUCGGCCUCGGACCAACAUCUCCGCCAAGGCCGCGGCCUCGCCGACCAGGCCGGUCCUACACAGCCCCACGAGCGCCGUGCUCACGGUGACCCCGUCCCAGGACACGCCGCGCUUGCACAUCUCCGAGAGCACAGGCGGCGCGAGCCUCCCGUGGCCCUGCUCGGAGAGGGCAGCGAGGAAGAUGUUGUAGCUGACGGUGUCAGCCGCGACCUGCGACUGCGACUGGGGCCCCGAGGAGGAACGGAGCAGGCUCAACGCGGGACGGAGCGAGCGGAGGCUACAGUAGGAGAGGAUGAUGGAGUUGAGGGUGAGGGUGUCACCUGGGACGGGGCGGAAGCAGACGGCGGCGGCGGCGAGGCCCGAGGAGGCGAGGGCGGGGAUGAGGCGGCGGAGGAGGCGUGCGGGAGGCGAGGCGGGGAGUGAGAAGACGACGUGGGAGGCGGCGGAGAAGCGGCCGGCCCGGAGGAAGGCGAGCGCGAGGGAGCAGAGGAAGGAGGCCUGGAGGGACGGGGCUAAGGCAUGAGGCGGAGAGGCCGCCAUGGUGGUGGUGGUCGGCGACGAGGGGGGUAGAGUGGGAGCGAGGAGAGGGGAGGGGAGGCCGGCGCGGCGCGGCGAGGUGCGGAGGAAGACCCGUUGGGCCGAGUCUGGUGGGCUUUAAAUGAUGUGGGGAAGACUUUCAGCCCACAGAGUUGUGCCACAGUCUCCCACUGGACUCUGUGAAUUGUCAUGAUUUGGCCGGGGUAAAAAGUUGAGCUUUCCUUCAAAUCCUUCGAUUCCUGCACAUCAUUGAAGCUAGCCUACCGAUCAUGUUGUUGAUUUCAAUCCCUUUUCAUGUCGUCAGGAGCAUUAUGUUGCUGUUUUGUGUGAGGACCGAAUGAAUUGCAGAUGGUGUGUGCCACUUACCAAGAGCCGGACAAAUCCUGAUGAGUGUAUUAGCUAGCACUCUUGUGUCCUGCAAGUUUUACCCAAGGCAAUGGGGUACUUUAACAAGCCUGAUAUGGUGUACAACGGUGUUGUCACCAAAAAAAAAACACUUCCAUGAUUUGAAUUGCCCAAUAAUUUAGCGAGAUGUUUGGAUGAGCAAAUCUCAUUGACACUCGCCGAGUUUUAUAAUUUAAUUCCUACCGACUGAUUUCUUCAGUGGUUAACCGUCGGUGUUCUUCUCGACGUCCUAGCUUGCCACUGCUCAUAUCCACAAAGAUUUAACGCCCUGCUGUACACAUAGCUUGUGGAGCUCGAUAUUACAUCUGUUUCAUAUGCGCUCUGCUCAAUAGUGAAUCAUACCUUGCAGCUGUACGAAGAAACGCGAAACGGUAUAUUUCAUUUCUGCAAAGAACAAGUGUGCGUGGGUACGCAAUCACUAGAGCGAAGAGAGGUUAGGCCACAAAUAACGUCAGCUAGCUGUUAUUAUUGGAGCUUCAUCUAACAGCCCCGACCGACCAGCGUACGUACAACCAUUUGAAAUAUAUAGAGGCACGGACAUCCACUAUGCAUGCAUUGAUUCUGUAGCGGAGGUCAUUCAAACUUCAUCCUUUUUGCACUUGCCCCCAUCCCAAUUGCUUCCUCCACCGCUCCCUAGCAGAAACAGACAUUUGACGUCAAAAUAUAAACAACUCUUUACCUACUCAAGGGUGUUUAUAUAUAUAUAUAUAUAUAUAUAUAUAUAUAUAUAUAUAUAGGUAGGUUGCAGCACAAAAUAUAAACGGCUCUUUCAUUCAAGAAUAAAAGUUUGCAACAACACCUUUGGAAGAAACAGGGCGUCGACGGCAAUUAUGGACAUAUAUAGUUUAUUAGGAAUACUGACAUAACGACAUCAUGCCAUGGUCAUCUCCAAGGCAAAGCCUACUGAAUUAAACUGUGGAGCUUCGAUUUCAGUGUUAAAAUUGUACUCCCACGUUGUACACGAGAUAGGUUCCUACACUUGUUUAAUUUGUAUAUUCAUGUACGGAACAGUCAUCUAAUCUUAAUGACAAGUUAAAACUGCAUGAGGGCUGACACCAAACAAAAGAGAAGUUUUUUUCCUCAUGUGGUCUGAUUGGGUUGAACACUAAAACCAACCAGAGGAGCAGGGUGCCUGAUAUAUAGAUGACAUUUCUUAAGACAAAACAUGCAUAAUUGCUGAUAUAUAUAAACACAUAUAUAUAGGACUGUCAUGUAAUACACGGAGCAUUAUGUAUAUGGGCCUUAAAAGAGAGUCAGUAAAUUUCUAGUUUUCUACUCUAAUAACUGGAUGUGUAGACAAACAGGAAUUCACAGCUAUACAAAUUAAAAAGCAUAAAAACGAUGCAUGCAUGGAAUUGGAAUUGAUAUAAAAAAAAACUAAAAUGUGUUGUAGUAUAUAUAUAGCAGUGGUAGUAUAUUCGUACGUACCUGGUGAUCCGUACUUUGAGCCCUACUGGCGCCGACCGCCGGGAGUGGGAAACACUGGCGGCAAGGAGGUAGCGCCAUCUCAGCAAUGGUCUGCUGGGGUGUUUUUGCUGGUGGGUGGCAGAGAUGACCCUGGCUUUGCGCGUGUUAACCUUAAGCAGGAGCUUCGCUCCCCUAAACCGGUAGCCUUCCACACACUUGUUUCCACAUCACCCGGAAUGACGAGGUAGACGACGUCAUGUGUUCUACCGUGCUUAGGAUAGGGAACAAUAAUGGCGGCGUGAUCUUCCGUGGCACGACGUCCUUCUUGUUGGAGAUAAACGUCGUCGUCUCAUCUGCCCAGCAGAGAUCUUCUAGAAGCAGCUUGGUUUCUGCCAUCCAGCUGCUAGCAGGGUCGUUGUUGUUGGAUGGGUUAUUAUCCAGGUCCAGGGUAUAGGUAACGAGCGACAUCGCGCCGCCGCCCUCCCUCUCCAUGGUGAGGAACUUGAUGGUGCCGCCGCCAACGCAGGCCGGCGGCGUUGCGGAACUCAAGCGGGUUCUUCUUCGACGACCACCGGGGGUUUUCGACGACGACGGAGCAGCCAUGGGGCAGCGGAACAAAGCACAUGUCCAGCGAGUCCGACGAGUCGACCUCGCAUUAUUGUCGUCCCGGGUCGCAGAGCAGCAACCCGUGGAGAAGAUCGACCCAGCAGAAGAGCCUCCUGCUCCUGGUUUCGACAGGGAAGGACAUGUGGAUCCUCCACGUCUGGAGCACCUCGGCGGGGAGCUCGCCGCGCUUGUAGACCCACGAGCAUAACCACGACUGCCACACGCAGAGCAUGCCCAGCGCAGGAAGCCCGCCGCGGCGGUGGAAGUCCCAGAGCAGCUCGGCGAGGACGAAGCUGGCGCCGCCGCCGCCGCCUUCGCGUGUCGUCGUCGUCGUCAUGAUGACGGUCCCGUAGCCGGCGCUGCUGUAAGAGUCAGCGUACUCGUAGUGGAUAGCGGGGAUCGAGGAGAGACAAGAGGCGGAUGCGUCGAGGUCCAGGAGCAAGUACCAUCGGUUGUACGAGUAGGCUGGGCGGUAGGAGCCGGAGGAGAGCACGACCAGGUUCUUGUCGGCGGCGGCGGCGACAGUACCGUCGCGGAGUUGCCAUCCGUGGUUUGCGAUCGGAGCGGAUGCCAGCGGUCGCUGCAUGGUGAGGCGGCUUACGUCCGGGGGCUCCACGACCUCCUCCAGAUCUGGCGUCAUGGACAGCAGGUACGUGGCGAUCGAUGCUAGCUUCCGUGGCUUCACGGCUUACUAAUAAUUCCGCCGUGCUGGUGCUGGUGCUGGCGCCGACGGUGACCUGCUGCACGCCCCCCUUUGCUAUUUUCUCUCCUAGAUCGAAGGGUUCUGUCUCUUGGGGAUGGCUGCGGAAGGCAACGGUGCGGUCGAGCAGGACGCAAGCGGCAGGGGCCAUGGCGGCGCGCUACGAUCGAUCGAUCGAUCAGGUCCAGGAAGCAAGAAUUGCCAACAAGCUAGAUCGAUGGCGGCGGAGACAAGGAAGAAUCGGCCGGCCGGCCGCGCGGGUAAUUUGUUUUAUUUGACAAAACAACGACAAGUAGGGUGCGGACUGCGGAUCGAUCGAUCGAGUUCAGCUAAGCGAUCGAUGGUCGUGCGUGGGAUGUUUGUGAUUGACGGUGGAUAUCUAUCUAUCUAUAUAUUAUAUGGGAUUAGAUUAGAUUGAACACGGUCGUCUUAAUUUGGUUCUUCUAUAUAUAUCCGCCAGAAAGGAUUCCCCAUCCCAUCACAGCUAAGCCAUCAAUCUCUCGGCCUGGGACGACCAGCAUCUCCGCCGCCGGCGCGGCAUCGCUGACAAGGCCAGGGGAUGAGAUGAGGAGGCGGAAGGCGAGGAGGAAGACGAAGACAAAGCCCCGUUUUGGGUCUUGGUGGGAGAAGUUUGUUGGGCUUUAGUUGCUCCUAAAUGAGAUUUUGACGGUGUCGUUAUCCUAAACGAUUUUCUUUUUAGGUAACAUACCAAGACGACAGUAUUUGUUUUUUUCAUUUAAAGGACAUGAAAUAGUUGCCACUUGAAUUUAAACCGAGUGUUCAACAAUGGCCAUAGAUAUCAACGGUGCUCAACCAUCUUGUUGUAGUUCCUUGACAUACAAGUUUGACAAAAUCCCCCACUUUUAGACCGCUCUUGGUGGCAUGCAUGGAGGACUGCUCCACGACAAGCAUGGUUGGGCUGGGCAGCCUCCCCCUGGUGGAGAUCCUCUCUCGUGUCCCUGCCAAGUCCAUCUGCCGAUUCAAGUGCGUCUCCAAGGCCUGGCCCGACCUCAUUGCCGACCGGAAGAAGCUGCUCCCACAAGCUAUAGGGCUGUUCAUCAUGACACCCAACAACUUCGAGGAGCAAGAACCUAUGGUGUGAUCAUUUCAAUUUCAGAAUCAUCGAUCUGACAGGUGGACUCAAACCUUUGGGCAUCGACCCUUCCUUCUUCUUCCUGCCUAGGAUUUGGAUCCAGAUCCUCGUCUUAAUGGAUUCCUGCAAUGGGCUUAUCCUCUUUGAGAAUCAGCCAGAGCCGUUCUCAGACGCAAUGAGGUACGUCGUGUACAACCCCAUCACACAGCAAUGGGAAGCAUUGCCCACCUGCGGCUGUCCUCAAUUGAUAACACACACAUAUAUGGCUUUUGAUCUGUUCGUUUCCUCCCACUUCCACUUGGUCCAGUUCUAGAUUCCCGAUUUGGAAAAGGAGUUGAUAUCUGUGUACACAUACUCAUCUGAAACUGGGACUUGGAGCCGCAACCAAAUUCUCCAACAAGAAGAGCAAGGACAAUUCAAAGGGUGGUGUCAAGUCAAGCUAGCUAAUGGGGACCCUUGGUGUGCCUUUGUUAAUGGCUUCCUGUUUUCGACAGUUCGAGACUCUGAUCAAAAUAAGAUAGCUGUUGUAGAUGUACAAGGAAAUGCAACAAGAAUGAUUGCAAUGUGAGAGGCUGCUCGAGGGGGUUUAUUUUGGCCAAUCCCAAGGGCGCUUGCAUUACAUGACCCAAAAACCAUUAGAUGAUGAUGAUGAUGAUGAUCAAGAGCUGUCCAUCUGGGUUCUUUAGGAUGAUACACAAGAAUUGGGUGUUGAAGGACACCAUGAGCUCUUUGUAGCUCUUUGGAGAAAAGAGUUGCACAUGUGGCAUUGAGGUGAUUGACAUUCAUCAAGAUUGCAAUACUUUUUUCUGCAUCCACUCCGUGAGCCAUAAACUUGUGGCAUACAACAUGGACCAUAGGGAAGUGAGUGUUAUUGGCACUUUCAAAUAUUUAGAUAAGUGGAUGGGUAUUGGUCAUAAGUUCCCUAUUUCUCAGAAUUACUAGCACUUCAAAGUAUGAGUUGCUUGCAACUUGGUUAAAUUCAUAGAACUCAGGUGACGUCCUUCUCAUUCUGUCAAGGGCGGUAGUGCCCAGGGUAGCUGGACCCCGACUACGCAGCUCGUAGUCGCGAUCCGUCGUCGCCGGCUGGGUUAUGCCCCCACGCCGUCGCCGCCUUCGUCAACUGGGUUAUGCCCCCGAGUUGCCAGCUUAGGAGUUAGAGGAAGAGAAUAGAUGGAUAAUACUUGAUUGAUUUCCUUUGAGUCCCUGAUUACAAUUUAUAUGGCCAGAGGCCCAACUAAAGGAGUAACAACCUCCUCAAUCUAAGGAACAGAAUCUCCUAAUUCCUUUCCUAGCCACUCACGGUGCUAACCCCCUGCGCGCCUGCCUACAUGACAGCUGAGCGCUCUAGGACGCGACGCACAUCACGGGCGCGGCGCCGUCUCACGUACGUGCGCCCGACCAUGACAUCUCCCUCUCCGUCGAGAGUCAGCUCGUCCUCGAGCUGGAAGGAGGGGAACCUGGUGCGGAAAGCGUCCGUGUCUUCCCACGUUGAAGAGGCAGCUGAGCAGUCCUUCCACUUGAUUAACACCUGGGGAACGCCACGGGCAAGACGGUAGCGUACUGCACGCUCAGGCUCCGGCUCGAUGGCGCCAUGACGAAGUGGAGGAAGCGGUGGCGUCUCAGCUGGCGGCUCGCCGUGGAACUUCUUGAGGAGGCUCACAUGAACAACAUCAUGGAUGCGAGCGCCCGUGGGCAGCGCGAGGCGAACAGCGACAUCAUUGAUGAGUUGCACCACGCGGUAGGGCCCCACGAAGCGGGGCUUGAGCUUGCCGCCCGCAGCCUGAGGAAGCGAGGACGCUGCCCGUUGCCGAAGACGAAGGAGUGCCCAGUCCCCGACCUGGUAACUGACGGAGCGGUGGUUGCGGUCGUAGUACAGCUUCUGCGAAGCUUGAGCCUGCUCCAGCCAGUAGCGUACAUCAGCCAAAAAUUCAUCCCGUUCCUCCAUUGUUUUGGCGACAGCUUGAACCCUGGUGUCGCCUGGUUCAUAAGAACGAAUGGAGGGCGGAUCCCGGCCAUACACCACCCUGAAGGGAGUGUCCCGCAAGGACGACUGAUAAGCUGUGUUGAACAGGUACUCUGCCCACGGCAGCCAUCUUACCCACUGGCGAGGCCGGUCACCCGUCAAGCAACGUAGGUACAUGACGAUGACACGGUUAGCUGACUCUGACUGCCCAUCGGACUGGGGGUGGAAUGCCGUGGUCAUCUGUAGUUUAGUGCCCAUCAGCCUCAUAAGCUCUUGCCAAACGGCCGACGUGAAGACCGUGUCCCUGUCCGACACGAUGGAUUGAGGAACGUCGUGGAGACGGACAAUGUCUGUGAAGAAGGCUUGAGCGACCGAUUCAACGGAGUACGGAUGUGCCAAAGGUAUGAAAUGACAGUAUUUGCUGAAUCUGUCCACCACGGUGAGGAUGACCGACUUCCCGCGGACGCGUGGGAGGGCUUCCACAAAAUCCAACACGAUGUCUGUCCACACGCCCUGCGGCACCGGCAGCGGAAGGAGCAGGCCUGCGGGCUGCAGGUGCUCGGACUUGUACUGUUGACACACCGCGCACGUGCGCACCAUGUCCUGCACCCGUUGCUUCAUGUUGGGGAAGUGGAAAUCGCGGCGGAGACGGUGCAGGGUGCGCUGAACGCCCUCAUGGCCGUCGGCAUGAAUCGCCCCCAGGAUCUCUUGGAGCAGUGGGGAGGCGGGUGGGAUAUAGAGCCGGCGGCCGAAGUGGACCAUGCCGUCGACGAGGGACCACGGCGCCGGGCGUGUCCUUGCUGUGAUCUCGGCGUGGAGGGCGACGAGGGCUGGGUCGUCCCGGUGUGCUUGACGUAGGCGAUCCACGAAAUCGAAGCGGGGGGCCGAAAGGGUGAGCAGCACCCCAUCCUCCGUGUCCCUCCUGGACAGCGCGUCUGCCACUGCGUUCGCGGCGCCGCGCUUGUACUCAACGGAGAAGUCGAAGCCCAGCAGCUUGCCAACCCAAUGGUGCUACGGAAUUGUGGCCAGGCGCUGAUCCAGCAGGUACUUGAGGCUGUAGUGAUCCGUCUUGACGCUGAAACGAUGUCCCCAGAGAUAUGGGCGCCAAUGUCGGACCGCUUGAACCAACCUGAUCAGUUCGCGCUCAUAGGCAGCAAGAGCGCGAUGUCGCGGCGCCACCGGCAGACUGAAGAAUGCGAUCGGAUGUCCGUCUUGCAGCAGCACCGCCCCAAAGCCGUGGGACGACGUGUCACACUCCACCACGAACGGCUUGGUGAAGUCGGGCAUGGCCAGCACCGGGGCGGCGGUCACCGCGGUCUUGAGGUCGUCGAACGCCGCAGCAGCUUCUGCGUUCUAGGACAAACCCUCUUUUUUGAGCAGGCUAGUGAGUGGUGCCGCCAUCGCGCCAUAGUUGUGGAUGAACUUGCGGUAGUACCCCGCCAAGCCGAGGAAACCCCGCACCGCCCACGCCGAGCGAGGCACCGGCCAGUCGCGUAUGGCCUGUACCUUGGUGGAGUCCAUGGCCACGCCAGCCGCCGAGAUCGUGUGACCGAGGUAGGCGACCGACGUGACCCCGAACUCACACUUAGAAUGCUUGACGAAGAGUACGUGGUGGCGGAGCUCACUGAGAACCCCGCGGAGGUGACAGAGAUGGUCGGCCCAGGACUUGCUGUAGAUCAAGAUAUCAUCAAAGAAAACGAGUACAAAGCGACGAAGAAAGGAACGCAGUACAUCGUUCAUGAGGGCCUGGAAUGUCGCCGGAGCGUUGCACAGCUCGAACGGCAUCACCAGGAACUCGUAAAGGCCGUCGUGGGUGCGGAACGCUGUUUUGUGGACGUCCUCCGGUCGCAUGCGCACCUGGUGGUACGUAGGUCAAGCUUGGAGAAGAACCGGGCACCAUGGAGCUCAUCAAGCAGCUCGUCGACGACGGGAAUUGGGUAGGCGUCCUUGACCGUGAUGGCGUUCAGCUCGCGGUAGUCGAUGCAGAAACGCCACGAUCCGUCCGCCUUUUUGACGAGGAGGACCGGGGACGAAAAGGCGGAGUCGCUGCGCCGUAUGAUGCCUUGUCGGAGCAUCGCGUCGCACUGCUUCUCCAGUUCGUCUUUGUGAGCAGCGUGGUAGCGGUACGGUCGGACCGCCACGGGGGCCGCGUCCGGCUUGAGGAUGAUGCGGUGGGAGCGGCCCCGUUCUGGUGGCAGAUUGCUUGGCGCGGCGAAAACGUCCUGGAAGUCGGCCAGGAGCGCGUCGAGGAGGGGUUCUGAGGCCUCAGCAGCAAGGAGGCGGGCGGGGGCCGGGGGAGCUGUGCCACGCCAGCAGAUGGACCUGCCCGCAUGCUGGAACGCCAUGGUGCCUGCCGCCAAGUUCCACGUGAUGUCCCCCAGGGGCGCCAUCCAGUUGGUGCCCAAGACCACGUCAUAACCUGCGAGGGGCAUAAUGAAGAGGUCGACCUGAAAUUCCAAGCCAUCGAUGAACACUGGCGUGGCGCGGAGCACCUUUGGACAGGCGAUGCGCUCGCCAUUUGCCACGGUAGCCGUCAGCCCAGGACGCGGCUCGAUGGUGAGUCCUGUGCGGCGGGCUGCCUCCUCCCCAAUGAAGCUGUGCGUGGAGCCGGUGUCGAUGAGUGCGAUGAACUCCGCAGCGCCCACUGUCACCCGGAGUUGGAUCGUGUUGGUGCCUGGCACGCCCGCCACUACGUGUAGGGAGAACACCGGAGCUUCCUCAGCUGCAGCGCCCUCGUCCAGCUCAACGCCGUCAAUGAAGAAUAUGCGGCGGCAGACGCGGUUGUGGCCGCGCGAGUAGGGUUCAUUGCAGUUGUAGCAGAGGCCUAGUCGGUGCCGUUCUGCUUGCUCCUCUGUCGAGAGCCGCCGCGGUGGAUUAGUGGCACCUCCUCUGUUCGGCGGCGCUGGCAGUGCUGGGACAGCGGCCGCCGGGGGCGCAGGCAGCGCGAGCGGAGCAGCAGGGGCUUGUCAGGGCGCCGGAAGCGGCGGGGGUGUGCGUGCUGCGGGACGAGCAGCAGCGACCGGCACCCGCUCGAGUUCCAUCAGUUCGAUCUGGCGGGCGAGGCUCAUGGCCGCCGGGAGUCUCCGGGUUAUGGAUGCGCACAGCGUGGCUCAAGGGCAGCAAGAGUCCCCCGGUGUAGAGCUGCACAAGUUGGGAUUCCUCCAGGCAACCGGCGCGUGGAAGAAGGGCUUGGAACCGAUUGGAGUACUCCUCAACGGUACCCGUGCGUCGGCAUUCAGCCAGCUCAAACAGCGGUGCCGAGCGUAGGGGCGGCCCGAAGCGCAGGUCGAGGAGGUCCUUGAAGCGUCCCAAGGACGGUGUUCCUUCGUCGUCUUGCAGCUGCAUGAACCAUAGCUGCGCGACGUCAUCCAGGUGGUAGGAUGCCAUCCAUACGCGUUCUUCUGCCAGCGUGCGGUGCUGGCGAAAAUAGGCGUCGCACUUGUUGAGGAACAGCAGCGGAUCGGUCGUCCCGUCGAAACGGGGGAAAUCCCAUCGCUUGUGCUUCGGGGGAUGAUCUGGAAGCGGACCCUCCGUGCGGUACUCGCCGCCGCCGCCGGAGAACGACGCGGACUUUUCCUUCUUCAUCACCGCCAUGUCGGCCUGCAUGGUGGCCAUAUCUGCGGAGAGAGUCUUCAAGGCCGCCAGGACAUCGGCCAGGGUUGGUUCGGCCAUGGUGGGUGCUGGUGCAGCCGAGAUGGGCGACUGCGGCGAGGUGGGUUGGUGGUGGGCAGGUGCGGCAGUGGAGGAUUGCGUGGAACGGGUGGGAGAGGAUCGACGAGACCUAGAUACCAGGUUGUCAAGGGCGGUAGUGCCCAGGGUAGCUGGACCCCGACUACGCAGCUCGUAGUCGCGAUGCGUCGUCGCCGGCUGGGUUAUGCCCCUACGCCGUCGCCGCCUUCGUCAACUGGGUUAUGCCCCCGAGUUGCCGGCUUAGGAGUUAGAGGAAGAGAAUAGAUGGAUAAUACUUGAUUGAUUUCCUUUGAGUCCCUGAUUACAAUUUAUAUGGCCAGAGGCCCAACUAAAGGAGUAACAACCUCCUCAAUCUAAGGAACAGAAUCUCCUAAUUCCUUUCCUAGCCACUCACGGUGCUAACCCCCUGCGCGCCUGCCUGCAUGGCAGCUGAGCGCUCCAGGACGCGACGCACAUCACGGGCGCGGCGCCGUCUCACGUACGUGCGCCCGACCAUGACACAUUCGUAGAAAAAGAUGAAGUCCUUCUCAUGCUUGGGUCUAACUAAUACAGAAAGCUUGUUGAGAUAUUUGUUGUAUUAUGCAUGUCAGGCUUCGAGAUUCAGUCAUUGGUGCCACAAAUUGGUCACUUAAGACAUGGACCAUAAGCUUGUUAUUGGCACUUUUAAAAAUCUAGACAGGCCAGUAGUUGCCUGUUAUGUUUCACAUUUCUCAAAAUCACUAGUGCUAACAAGCACUAAAAGUGUGUGCUCUAGGUUUGAGCUGCUAGCAACUCGUGCUUUGGUAUCCGAUCCAUGCAUAUAUAUAUCUUAGAUAUACGGAGUAGUAUCAUAUCCGCCGUCGGUGGGAUGGCCGAAUAAUAAUAGUCCCACCACCACCACCACUACUUAAUUGUUGAUGGACACGGCAAAGUAAUAUUUACUUCCUCCGUUCUAAACUAUAUAAGUCAUUUCAAAAAUUUCUAGACAUAUGUUUUUUAUCAUUGCUUUUUACAUCUAUUUACUUAGAAAAAACUACAUAACUAUUCAUAGUUUAAAAUGGAGAAAGUAUGUAUAUACAUCCACACACAAUUUAAUAAGCAUAAUGAAAACUUGUGGAAUGCAAGAAGAAAUCUGUAGGUUUUAUCAGCGAGCUGCCAGUGGCCGGUUGAACAUACUCCGUAGAUGAUACUCCCUUAAUCCUAGAUUAUAAGACAUUUCAAGAAUUUUGGAGUGUCAAUCUUAAAUUUGAUCAAAAUUAUAAAAAACAAUAUAAAAAUUUGUGACAUCAAAUAAAUAUACUAUGAAAAUAUAAUUAAUAAAAAACCUAUUGAUACUUAGUUAGUAUCAUAAAUAUUAUUAUAUUAUUAUAUAUAAAUUUGGUCAAACUUAAAAUACUUUGAUUCUCUAAAUUUUUUGAAAUGUCUUAUAACUUGUGACGGAGGGAGUCUUGUUGAUCUCUCUCUUUGCAAAAGGAAUAGUUCAAGGCCAUAGAUGCUCGCAUGGAUGCAUGCUCUGUCCGUAUAUGUUUGCUAGAUAUUUAAAUUUUAACUAGCAAAAUAUGCCCGUGCGUUGCUACGGGAGCAAACAAACGUUUGUAGAAAAUAAGCACUUUAUUAGAUUUAUUUAUGUUUUAUCCUUUGUAUUAAAUUUGAUAAUUUUUAAGCUUUUAAAACUAACUUUGAAGCAGACUGUCCAUAUAUAGUUUAUAUACAUGCUCUUAAACUUUUUAGGAUUUUUUAUUUCACGCGCAAUGACACCUUACACUCUCUGAUUGAAAGGAGCCUAACAUACUUUUGAAUUAUAAUUUCUAGAUUUAAUUUUGAUUUUAUAUAGAUUGUAUAAGUUUCUGUCACUUUAUGCAUUAUUUGUACAAAGACAAGAAGCUAACAUUUAUUGGGAAGCCGAAGUCUAUAUAAAUUUUGAGACUGAUUUUUACUAUUCAUUUAUUAUAUAUAUUAUACUUGUUUGCAGUUUUUUCAUCUUAAACCCUACGAACAAGUAAAAGGUCUAGCGAUUUUGAUUUACAUGCACCUUGUAAAUACACAGAUGAGUUUACCACGAUCAUAGUAGGCCAAUGGCUUUUAUAGAACAUGUCUCUGUGCUAUCGGAACUCGAUGUGAACUCGUCUUGGACUCCUAAUCUUGGUCAUGUGCACAGAUGGUGAUUGGGCCCAUGAAGACAUAUACACACGAGUAACCUAGAGGCACACAGACACCAUGACUUUUCUUUUUUACCGAUGUGAACUCGUCUUGGAGUCUUGGUGGUUGGGCCCAUAGAGGAGACGUGUACAACAUUAACCUGGACUCCUGAGAGGCACGCACACGAUGUUUGGUUGGAUAAAAGCUAUACAUGUUUUUUAGGUAUUUGUAAUCAUAGUCCUAUACGGACACUGGAAGUUUAAAGAACCUCAUACCUAGUCGACGGGUGGACAGAAAGAUAUGGUGAACUAAAAUUUUCACAAUUUAUAUUUAUUCCUGUGUUUUUCCUCCAAAUCUGCAUUCAAAGAAAAAAUUCCUACAUUAUUCUCGUGCUCCAUUCACAUAAACCAAAAGCAUAAACAGUAAUAAAUCCCAUAGGAUUCUUAAUCCCAUGAACCAAAAGGAGGCCUUGAUCAGAUGGUUUCAAUUGUUGAAGAGUGUAAUCUAAAAAAAUGUUUUUCUAAUUGAUGAAGGCAAAUUAGACUCACGAACCAUAGGUGAGGGGAAAAGCCACCGAGCCCAGCAACGUGCAAGCCCACGGCGCGGCCUCACCUUUGCGGAAGGUGCGCGGCUUGUCUUUUGCAGUAGUGCCGCGUGGCGUGCGCCCAAGCUCGGGACGCCGACGUUUUCGUCCGACGGCCCAACUCGAGUUCAGCAACCCAGGACUUAUCGUCCGAGUUGGUUCCAAGUCGGUUAGUAUAUUUUAUAGAUGGCCACGCAGCCUGAGGCACGACGGCCCGGCCCACGGCACGACAUUUUGGCCCGAUCCGAGCACGGCACGGCACGGUAACUCGUGGGCUGCGGGCCGUGCUUGGGCCGACCUCUAAGCCCGCGGGCUGGCCCGGCCCGGCUCGAGUUUUAGGGGUUGGCCCGGUAACGGCCCGGUACCACCUCCACGGGCAUUGCACAAACAACUUUAUUUUUAUGUUACAUGUUUUUUGAUGUUAUUUCUAUGAUUUAAGACUGAGAUUGUGAAUCUGAGAAGUUGAGAGUUGUAAAAAAUUGAUUGUGACAUUAUGUUGGUGAAGUGAUCAUUGUCAUUGUGUGGUUAUUUUGUUUUUUUUACAAAACCGGGCUACGCGGGCCGGCACGGCACGAAGUCAGCCCGUGGGCCCGUGCUUGGGCCGAAGGGCAGGCACGCGGGCUGCUGAGGCACGGCACGGCAGGCACGCGGGCCAAAUUGGCACGGCACGCUACAGCCCGUGCCCAGCUCGGGCCCGGGCCGGGCCGGCCCGGCCCGGUGGCCAUCUAUAGUAUAUUUCGAUUCUGAGAAGGAUUAUUCUGCCGAUUCCGGGCGACAGAAGAUCGGCAGGACCGAUGGGAGCGGCAGAAAAAAAAUUUGGCAGACUGAAAUUUUCACAAUUUAGUAGUAGGGACGUGAAUCACUGUGGGAGAUGCUGUUGGGCUUUGCUUGCUCCUAGAUGGGCCCAGCUAGUGUUAAGAAAUGACAGCCCAAAAUGCGUUUGGUGUUUAACGCCGUCGACGCACGCGCCGCAGCAAAGUUACAAGUCGAGAAAAGCAGCAUGCGUUCAACUUCUCUUAUCUGGGAAUUAAUGGAAAAGGAAACAAGAAAGAAAACGUCCAACUAUGGACUCAUAUGCCCAGCCAUCAACUAUAUGACUGGCAUUUGAGAAAACUUUCAAAAAGGUGUACUAGCAUUUUGGAUGAAAAAUCAUCAUCAGCAUGUGUACAAGUUGCUUUUUUCCCCCCUCUACUACUUGCCAUGUGCUUUAAACCUGUGUUUAUACAAUGAUACAUAUAAAAGUACUGCGCGUCUAAUUGAUUUUUUGCAUUAAUUUUAAUGUUUGGUUGUUCUUUGCAUGAAAGCAGUAUUUGAUAAAGUUAUUAUGUUUGGUUAUUUUUGUACUUUUGUUGCAUGUAGUUACUUCUAUGUUUUAGUUAAGGUCUCAUAUUUCUUGUAUAGGUAUGUGAUGAGUGAUGACAAUAUUUCAUUUUAUGUAACGUAUUGCGCGCUUGUAUAAAUUUUUAUUGUCUGAUACUAUCAAAUCUAACGUACUAGCUAAUGUAACAUUAUAUUGUUGGAUCUCCUUUAUUUGAGCACCGUACAAGUCUGCAUAAGAGCCUAUGAAGACAACCAAUCAUGAAUAAACUAUAUCGCGCAAAACUAAAUAUAGGCUAAAUACAUAUGGAAUCAAUCAGAUCAUAUAUACAUGUUGCCACAUUAAACUGGCAUAUAUGUCACAGAGAUGCCUCAAGAAUUAUCAUAAAUUUUGAUUUUUAUGAGGUGUGCACUCUAACAUAUAUAGACUUUCAGAAGAAAUUAAGGCAUGCAUUGAGCACUGCGUGUGCCUUUUCAAACACGAGAGAGAGAGAAAGAGAGGCUCUUACUUUAAUUUUUUUAUGAAACCCAGUAUAAAUACUGAAACACACAUAUACCUAUUUUUGAGUUAUAUUAUAUAGAGAGAAUCGGAUUGCUCGUGCGAAUGAUUUUCUUGUUGAUUGCAUUGGUCGUGUAUGUAGAAGGGAGAAUAUGUACUCCCUCCAUCCUAAAAAGACCGAUGUUUUUGACUUUGAGACAUCAGGUUUGACCACUCAUCCUAUUCAAAAAUUUUAUGUAAAUUAUAAAAUAAAUAAAUCAUGAUUGCAGUAUCUCUAAUGAUUAAACAAGUCAUAUCAAAAUGGAUGAUAUUUAUUAAAAAAUUUAAUAAAAUAAAUAGUUAAAUAAGAUGUCUGAAAAUGAAGGAAGUACCAGACAAUUAUUAAAAUGAAAGGUAUAGUGUGCUGGUCCUAUAUUAUACUAUAUACACAUAGAUUAUAUAUAGAUAGCCGGCCAUGCAAGUGUACAUGCAUACUCACGCGGUAAUAACUUUGCGGGGCUAGCUAGGGGGGGUGGAGGAAAUAAGUAAAAUGUGCAACUCGUGUGCUUUGGCACCCGAUCCUAUCCAUGCAUAUAUCAUCGCGUAUCCGCCGUCGGUGGGAUGGCCGAAUAAUAAUCCCACGACCACCACCAGUCCACCACCAUCAGAUAUGAUUGAUGGACACGGCAAACUAACAUUUACUUCAUCCGUUUUGUUUGUUUUAUAAGCUGUAUUUUUUUAAUAGCUAGCAGUAUUUUUUUCUCACAAUAAAUCAGUAAAUAAUAUUUUAAAUAACAUAUCUUUUUAUCAUUACUAAAUAAAUCUAUUUACUUAGAAAAGCACGUACCUGAGUCCUGACUCCUGUGGGCUGUGGGGUAGUGGUAUAGAACUGAUACUUUGUCAUGUCUUUGUUAUACUUUCCUACUGCGUAGAGAAAACAGCCAAGUUUCUCUUUAUUUGUGUCAAAACAGCUAGCAGCUAUAUCCAAAACGACGGUGAGCUUAGGUUCUAUCCAAUAGCAAACGAAAGCCGGCCAUCCAGUCUCUGUCCGCCGUCUCCACAUGACCACAUGGCAAACAUUGUUGACAAUUACCAAAAGCAAGAAAGCAAUGGAUGCCAGCACAGCGCACGCAGACCAUGUUGCAUUCUACUCCAAUUAAUUAACCCUCUCGAUAUCCAUUAUAUUACAAAAGUUGAUGAAAUAAGCAACAAACACGGUGCAAGAAAUUGUAUACACACAUACUCCGCCUUUGUUCGCACGCAAAAUCAGUUGAAUUCAGGUUUAAAUUGUUGAUGUGCCGCUGGCACAGUCUUUCGAAUGUGCUCAUGAGGGAAAGCUUUGCAUACGUGUAUUAUAUUCAUAGAGGGUGAGUGUGCGUAUAUGUUAAACGUCUACACUUGUAUGAUUCGCAAAAAGAAAAAUUUUGUUGCUUUCCUCGAAACCAACUAGCCUGAUUUUGAAACUUUCUAAAACAUAUGGAUCAAAUUUUACCAAUGAGUUCCUCUUAUCAAGAGGAUCACAUCAAGAUACAUACAUAAAACAUCUAAUUUUUGCAUAAGCGACUAUUACAUCUACGAGAAGAUCCACACCCAUGAAAUCGCCCAAACCAGUUUUGUUAGCCUAGAACCAGACUAGAGUUGUAUUUUGCGACGAAUUUGUAAGGGGUUUUUUAGACCUAAUAAUAGGAAAGUUUUUGCGACGAAUUCGUAGGGGGGUUUGAGACCUAAUAAUAGGAAGGUAAGCUUAUGACUGUUGGGUGAAAGUUUGAGAAGUAAAGCAAUCACACAAACAUGGCAAGUUGAACACAAAUAUAAAAGUUAUAUUCAUUCCAUGAUCGUACAGUAUGUGUGAGAGGGGGCAUUUAUAGGACCCUAACCUUCAUACAUUAUGCAAAAAUGACUAUUUUACCCUGACUAAAAUGUUUACAACCCUUUUUAGCUACAAGGGUGAAGUGGCAAUUUUCAUCUAUUUCAGUCUAUUUCUUUUUUGUUCGAUCUUCAUUAUUCUAUCAAACUUAGUCUUCUAACUUAGCCGUUUUCUGCUCCGCUUUUCUUCUACUUCGCCCGUAGGCGAAGUUGAUUUCUUGACAACAAAGCUGAAACUUCUCUUCGCUCUGGUCUUGAUUUCUUUGAUGUUCUGAACUUCUCUUAUAUAGCGAAGUUGAAUUUCUUCAUGUGAAGUCGAAAAAGAUGUCUUCACCCUUCUUUUCCCUGCAAUCAAAUUCUAUUAGGUGAUUUUAAGCAUUUCUAGUUCCCAAAGUUUGGGACCACUUUCUAAGGUGAAGUUAAAUUCGUAAUGAUGACAUUGUACAAUUCUUUUUUGUGUGCGUAACUUAUAUGUUUUCUAACUAAUAAAUACUUUAAAAGGUAUAUUGUUUUUUUACUUAUCUACUAAAUCUUAUCAUAAAUGCCCUGCUUGAUAAAAUGAGAUAGUAGCUCUGAAAAAAUAAAAUGAAUUAACUCCUUGCCCCCCUCUUCAGUUAUGGUUUGCAUGACUACACUUGUACCUACUUCAAUCUACAUAUGUUUGAGUAGAAAUUAGUUUGAUUUCCAUAUAAUCCAUUUCAAUGUAUGUCCAAACAUAGACAUGUACAAUAUAUUUAUUUGGGGGUAUUGCGUUUUUAUCCUUGUUUUGUAUUGAAAUUGUGGUUCUACCUCUGUUUUUUUUUAACUUUGUGAGUUUACCUCUGCUUUAAUUUUUCACAACGAAGCACCACUUUACCUCUAUUCCGUCAUCUUCCCCGAACGGUGUUAACUUUUAUACAAAAGGAUAAAUAUACACAUGCAAUUUUGCACCUGUUUAUAAAUCUAUUGUGAUUUUACCAUUGCUUUAAAUAAGACAUUUAUAUUGUAUAUAACAAAAAAUGGUUAGAUUUGACCAAAAUUUUGGCACAAAUCGCAAUUAUUGUUAAUCAGAUUCAAUCCAUCGACGUUCAGAGAUAACAACAACACCAUUGUCAAGAAGAGAGAAUCCUUCUGAAAUGAUCUCAGCCAAGCAUAUCUCCUUCUCGUGCAACACAGCAACAGGGACUCCACCAAGCAGUCAAGAAUUCCUUGUUCGUUUGUUCAGAGGACGACGACGGCAGGUGCACGGACAUCGUGCCGUACAGGUACCAGCAGCACCAGGGCCACAUCCAUGUGCUCGGGAAUGCUGCUAGCCAUGACAGCAAGCACAUGUGGUCUAGAUAGAGCAGCAAUCGAUCGAUCUCCAGGAGCCGUACGCGUCGUACUGCAGCGAUGGGCUGUCGACGACCGCGCCCGACCAUGGUUCUGCUUCUCCCUCUCGUUGGACGAGCAAGAGCCAAGAGGAUGAAGAUAAGGGGCAAUUUGGCCUUUUCAUCUUUACGAGUAUGUUCGUUUAAACUUAUCUGCUGAAAUUUUAGUCUUGUUUUUUUCUCUCACAACAAAUCAAGAAACGGUAUUUUUAACUAUGCCUUUUCAUACAAGCGAACAUGUUUGGGUUUUGAUUUAUUUUAAUUUAUUUAUUUGAGUCAAUCUAAGGAUGUGCAAAGCAGGGCAAACGGAUGAUUCAUUUCAAAACACAAGGGAAAAUCACGAAGUAAAAAAAAAAAAACAAGGACAAAAUCACAAUUGGACUACUAGACAGAGUCAAGAACACUAAUUUCCCUGUUUAGUUUAUAUAAUACUUAAUUCAUUUAAAUUAUAAAACAUUUGACUUUUUUGACACCAAAUUUGAUUACUUAUUAAAAAUUUGUACAAAAUAUUAGUGUCGUGGCUUAAAUUUGAUGUUUGUACAUAUUUUUGGAAUAAGACGAGUGGUUAAACUUGAGGUUAAAAAAGUCAAACGUUAAUUGAGAAUAAAAGAAGUUUAUACGUAGCACCUAGAUUUCUUUUUAAGAGAAAUACGAGCACACAACGCAUGCAUUAAAUUAAGGCCUGUUUGGUAGGCCAACUUAUUCAUUUAUCAGCAGAAUUUAUCAGCUAUUUAACAUUGUUUUUAUCACAAUAAAUUAGUAAAUAGUAUUUUCAGUCAUAGACAAGCUAACAGGGUUUUUUUUGCUUUAGUUCCACAAAAGGCUUCACUGGUGGAGUUAAAGCCGUUUUAGAAAAAGGGUUUGGCAAAAUGGUUUCACCUAAAUGUCCAAGAUACCCUUGUGCAGGCACGUAUAUAGUAACGUUUGCAGAUGUAUGUUUCAAUAUGUUUUUUCAUCCGAGUAAAUUAGAGUUUAAAAUUUGAAAUUCAAAAGUAAAUAAUAAAAGAAUAACACAAGGAAUUCGUAACCAAUAGAAUGGAUGGCUCCGAAAGCGAUGGAUGAAUGAAUUUGUAGAGAGAGAGAGAAGAAUCACGCUCCGUCCAAUCCAGAAACGGAAAGAGAGCCGGAAAGCGACGGCAACAAUCGAUCCACGUGUGGCCGCAGUCCUCUCGCUUGGAAUCGGCGGGUGGGUCCGGGCGGUGCGGUCCAGCCGGAAAAAAAAAAAAAGUGCACUGCAGCAGGCAGCAGGUCGGUACGGACGACCAAGCUAUAGCUAGAGAGGCGCGCCGUUGUUUCUUGUUUCGUUGACCCAGCGGCGAGUCUCCAUCCAUAUCCAUCCGUCGGAUUGGAUGAAGUCCAUCGUCGCCACCAGGUCAGUCAGGUGCCACCGCCAGCCAAUGCCGGCCAUGCACAGGCAGUGCAGGUCACCAUCCACUCCUCACCAAGCUCAAAAUUGUAUGACGCCAUGUUUAGUUCACUAACAACCAAAAUUUUUUAAGAUUUUCUGUCACAUCAAAUUUUGCGGCACAUGCAUGAAGCAUUAAAUAUAGACGAAAACAAAAACUAAUCACACAGUUUGCCUGUAAAUCACGAGACGAAUCUUUUGACCCUAGUUAGUCUAUGAUUGGAUAAUAUUUACCAUAAACAAACGAAAGUGUUAUAGUAGCGAAAUCCAAAAAAUUUUCACAUCUAAACAAGGCCUGAGUAAAUUAUUGAGGCGGUUCUUAAAGUAUUGAAUGGUUUUUAUUUGGAUCCCCAAACUAUAAAAUCACACAUUUAGCUUUCUAAUGUAUUUAACUUAUUUCAUCUAAAUCCAAAACACACGCAACAAGAAUUAGAAGUUGAAGUGGUUGUUCAUAUGGAUUUGAUUUAAGCACAACACCCCUAAGUUGAGAGUCCCAAAUUACCUAAUGUGACAACGUCCACUUGUCAUGGUUAGUAGUGGCGUCUGCAGUGGUGUGCGGCUGGAGGUGCUGCUGCUGGUGCAUAGCCCCCACCGUGUGUGGGUGAGCGCAACACUAGAUGACCACAAACCAAGUCUCUCCUCACAUAUCUACCUCACUCUACUCAAUAGCGUAACCGGCUGUCAUUGCCGCCUAUAUAACCGGGUUGUAUGCCACGUGCGCCGUGAUGGUGAGCAGGGGCGGGCCGGCGACCGUACGCAUGAGCUUAAAUUAGAGGUCAUGUGCUUAAAUCAUAUCCACGUGGAUGACCACAUCAGUUUCUAACCCUCCUUAUGUGUAUUUUAGACCUCAUGGAAUCACUUAAAUAUAUUAGUAGUCAGACGUGCGAUUUCGUAGUUUAAAGACCCAGAUAAAAACCACGUAAUAUUUUAAGGAUCGGUCGUGUAAUUUACUCUUAUUUACUUGUCCCAGUUUCUAGAGAGAAGCUAUAAUUAGACUAUCUUCAGUGUAGGCUGCAUGACUAAAUUUUUAACACAUUUAUAUUUUGAAAACACUUCUCGACUCUUAAGUUUUUAGAAAGAGUUUCAUGAGAAAAAAAUUUUUUUAUACUUCUUCCAAAAUAUAAAUAUAUUAAAAAUUGAGCUACGAAACUUGCACCCAAGAUGAGACUUUACUGACGGCGCGGCACCCAGAUGACGCUCGGGCGCCGGAAUGCAGGGAAUGGCCGGCGGUGGACUAAUGAGUGUACUCCUACCUACGCGUGGACCGCCGGCCGCUGGUCAAUAUAUAGGCCGGAAUAUACUGUAUAGGAGUAUUGUACCCCACGUCGCCUCCUCCCUACAGGAAACCACUGUUUUGCUACACGCCUACGUACACCCUAAUACUAAUACAGUACUCCUCUGUCCCAAAAUGCUUUCCGAGAAAUAAGUUUAACUAAAUAUAUAAUAAAAAAUAUUAAUAUUUAUAGUACAUAAUUAGUAUCAUUGGAAAGAUCUUUAAGUCUAGUUUUUUAACAAAUUUAUUUAGAUAUACAAAUAUUACACGUAUUUUCUAUAAAUCGAGUCAAACUUAUUACACGAAAACCUAAACGAGACUUUUUUUUGGUACGGAGGGAGUACUACUCUAUAGCUGAGUUUACGCUAUCACCAAGAAUUUCAUUAUUUAUUAUUUAUUUAUUAUGUGUUGGACAGCGGCUCCGCGAUAAACAAAAAAAAAAAUAUAUAAAACAGUACCUUUCAAGGAAAUGACAAAAAUGAAGAUCUCAUGCAUGCAUCCGGCUAGGCCGUCUACGUAUGUCCAAAUGGAAGCCAAUUUUUUCCCCCGCGCAUAGACGAACGUACUACUCUCAAUAUACGUACGUACCCCUUAUAUCAAUAUAUAGUACGUGAAUUUUAUUAGAUAUCUGCCCAUACUCAGAUUUCGUCCAUUUAUUUAUUAUCUAGGUAUACAUGGUAUAUAUGUGCAGAAGCUGGCUAAGAUUUGAGCAUCACCAUUAGUUUCUAAAAAACACUUGGUUAUUAAUAAGUUUUUUUAAAAAAAAAUAUCUAAAAACUUUCAAAGAACAUUUGUUAGCUUUUUUCAACUGUUUCUAAAAUCUCGCUCGAACCAUUUGCCUACUAUCUAUUGUACGUCAUUGUUCUCCACUCAUGGAGCUUAGCUAGCUAUUUGUGGAUUCGUGUCUCUCGUGUCAAUUACAUUAUAUUAUUAAUUUGUUAUCUAGCGCUCAUUGCAUGCUGGGGUAGACUUUAGUUUCUUUCCUUUUUUUGAAAAAAAAAUGCAUGAUUAUUCCAACUUAAUUUGAUUUAUCACUUCAUUCCACUUGUUGGGGCCUCUUGUCGAACACGAGCUUUUUUUUUAGCUAUUCUUAUGUUUUUUUUCUAAAAUUUCUGCAUGCAUGAUUCUUUCGAAAUACUCUAUCUGCAUUCCAACGGUGCUUAUUGGAGGGGAGUUGAAAACCGCUCCCAAGACGAAUACCGCUGCGGCGCUGCCAAGACAAGGAGAAUAAAUGACACACACUAGUAGUUACUCCCUCUGUCCACGAAAGAAUCAAUUCCUAGGAUCUAUGUCAGUCAAACUUUUUAAAACUUUAUAGAAAAGAGUAACAACAUCUAUAAUAUAAAAUGCACAUGGGUGACAGAGGGAGUAGAUACGCCCUAAAAAUUGACUCUGACACACACUACUAGUAGUUACGCCCUAAAAAUUGACUCUUUCGUGGACGAAGGGAGUAGAUAAUAAUUAGGACAGCUAACAACGGAAUCGCUUUUGGAAAUUAAAGCCAAGACUUUGGGUAGUAAUUAGUACUAGUAGUAAUUGAGCACGAGUCGUUGUGGAAAAACUAACGAACGAUGCUUCCUUCCUUCGAUCCAUGCAUAUGGGUGACAGCUAGCUGCGUGCUGAAUACUUCCUCCGUCUAAUAUAAUGUAUUAUAGCAUUUAACAUUUAUCCUCAAAUAGUAUAAUGUAUUUUAUAGAACAAAAAAAAUUAUGUUAAAUAUUUCCCAUUUAGUAUAUGUGUCUUUUUAUAUUUCCUUUUAAUUUGUUUUAAAAUUUCUGACGUGCAUUGUAUUACAAGACUGACGGAGUACUUUACUUAAUUAGAGGCAUGAAUGGAGCUAGAAAAACGAAGUGCGGCAAGCAUCUGGAAAAAAUACAUAGACGGUCGACGACGGUUAGUUAUUCUCGCCGAAUCUGAAUAUAAUCGUCGCGAGUACUAUAUAUAAUCAUCAUUUAAUUUAGUGAUGAGAGAGGUGAGUUGUGCUAACCUUGCAUGCAUUGCACACCCCUUAAAUAUAUUACUAGUAAAAGUUUAGAAUUUGUUCCGAUAACAGGUAACAAUGCAAAUUAAUUGGGGGCGUGCCAAGAAGUUGACUUAUAUCUCGACAUGGAUGAAAAGUAGAGCGACUUGCCCACUAGUACGCACGCUAGCUAGACAACUUAUUAUUAGGGCGUUUACAACAGUUAGCUAUUUGGCUAGCUAGAUCUAAUAUAACAAAAAAAAAGUAGAAGAAAAAGUAGUUACUAGCGACUUUUAAUUUGAAUGCUUAGAAAUGUGAUCCUUGCCUGGCGUUGCCUUUACUAUGCUUGCAUGGGAGGCUGUUUUCAUUUUCCGUGAGGAAAAAAAUGUCGAUAUAUACAUAGCAGGGUGCAUUUGUUGGUACGUGUGCGUGUUGGAUUAUUUAUGCAACUGUAAGUUGUGCAACAAUAUUACAAUAUAAGGUUAAAGGGUUGUUGUUUAUUUUUAAUUUUUUUUAUCUGAAAAUAAUUACAAAUAUAGGUGAAGUUACAAGCUGGGUCUGAACCUAAAAACUGUAGCACUUUCGUUUAUAUUUGACAAAUAUUGUCCAAUCAAGGACUAACUAGGCUCAAAAGAUUCGUCUCGUCAAUUCCGACCAAACUAUGCAAUUAGUUUUUAUUUUCAUCUAUAUUUAAUACUCCAUGCAUGUGUCCAAAGAUUCGAUAUGACGAGAAAUCUGAAAAAUUUUGUAAAUUUUUUUUUGAACUAAUCAAGGCACGGCCUCAGUGUACUAGACAGUUACACUCUUUUUUUCUAGGACACGUGUACGGUAAUUGAGCACAAGUAUAAAGAAAAAAGAAAAGCUAUGAGCAAGUACAAUAAUGGGCUUAAAGCCAGGCUAAUGCUGAUGUGGAGGAUAGAAGAGAGGAGAGAGAUGAUAGCUUGGCUCUUAGAGCAAGGUCAAUAAUAGAGCCAAGUGCUUGGCUAUAAGCCAAAUAAUUAGAGCCAAGUUAUACAAUAAGUUGUCUCCUACUUGUCUCUAAAACACAUUCUCUUUCUUCUUUCUUCUCACAACAUUUGCUUUUUGGGCCCACUACUACCUAUGCAUCCGUGCCCAGCUUGGUGCUUAACUAAUUGUAAGUACUGUACACAGCAGGCGCGCGGCAAAUAUAAUAAUCCUUUAUUUAUGCUGUACUACAUAUAUAAUAUAUCCUCGCCUUUUUGACUAUGUGUUAACUGUAAAGGCCGGCUUUUGCACACGGCGCCCUUUACUUUUCGGUUUUGUAUGUAUAAAAUCGAAGGUUAGCUUUAUCAUUAAUUAAUAAAUAUACAAGUACCAUCAGACUAAUCAUCAGUAGUAAUAGUACGUAGGUAACAUAAGAGAUGAAGAAAGUGAGUCAGUCUGAAACAGGGCGGAGACGAUGCAGCAUUUCGGCCAGCAGCAGCAGAUCAUGUUGAUUCUGUUGAUGGCGACGAGGUAGCUAGGGUGAUGAUUUGAUUUUGACCGGUCGUGCAUGGGCCCUUUAGUUAGUACGAGUAAUGUUUUGCUUCCAUUGAGGGAGCUAGCUGGCUAGCUGUCCAUGCACGGAACGGAGCGGAGCGGAGCCGAGCCGCGUCCUGCGCCGUGCCGCGCGUCGCUACGAGUUGCAGUCUGACCAGGCCAGCAGUUGGUUGCUCUCGCUCGCUCGAGAUCGGUCAAACAGGCCCACACGGACGAGACGACCGCCGCACCAUGCACCCAUCUCCAUCAUCUCAUUCCUUCCUAGCUAGCUAGCUAGCUUCUCCGACCUCCGUCCCUCGCUCUACCUAGAGUAGUCUCCGGCCCUCCAGCUGGAUGCCUAUAUAAACCCCCAGCGCCAUGCACUGCACCACCAAGCAACACCAGCUACUACUACUACUACUAGCAGCAGCACCAGCAGCAAACGACCUCCGAUCCUUCCCUCAUCGAUCACCAUCUUUGCAUAUAUACAUACGCCAACAUAUAUCAUAUCGUCUUUGCAGCAAGCAAAAUCAAGCACAUUAGUAUAUAUAUAUAUAAAAAAAAAAAAACUGAAUGGACGCCGUAGCGGCGGCGGCAACGGGUGGCGCCAUGGCGAUGGUGGCGGCGGCGGCGGUCCUGCUGCUGUGCGCCUUCAUCUACGCGGCGUGGCUGUCGCCGGCCGCGGCAAGGCGCCGCCUCCGUGGUGCGGGCUUCGACGGUCCCCGCCCGUCUUUCCCGUUCGGCAACCUCCCUGAGAUCACGGCCACGCUGCAGGCCUCCGCCGCCGCCAGCGCCAGCGCCAGCGCCAGCAACAAGCCGCCGUCCUCCGCCGUCUCCAGCGACAUCCACGCCGCCGUGUUCCCCUACUUCUCCCGCUGGCGCGAGUCCUUCGGCAAGGUCUUCGUGUACUGGCUCGGCACGGAGCCGUUCCUGUACGUGGCCGACCCGGAGUUCCUCAAGGCCGCCACCGCCGGCGCGCUGGGCAAGCGGUGGGGGAAGCCCGACGUGUUCCGCCGCGACCGCAUGCCCAUGUUCGGCCGCGGCCUCGUCAUGGCCGAGGGCGACGAGUGGGCACGCCACCGCCACAUCAUCGCGCCGGCCUUCUCCGCCACAAACCUCAACGUACGUCGUACCGACAACCAUUUUAAUUUGUCUUCUUCUUCUGCUAGUGCUAGCUAGCCAUGUACGUACGUACGUACGUGCUCCAUCGAUCUCCGAUCCGAUCCAUGCAUGCAUGCACUCACUGCCACUGCCACUGGUACGUACAGGACAUGAUCGGGCUGAUGCAAGAGACCACAUCCAAGAUGGUCGCCGAGUGGAGCGCCGCGGUGGCGUCCGGCGGCGGCGUGGUGGACGUGGAGCGUGGCGUGGUCCGCAACGCCGCCGAGAUCAUCGCCAAGGCGAGCUUCGGGGUGGCGGACGACGAGGCCGGCGCGCGGGUGUUCCUCAAGCUGCAGGCCAUGCAGGCGAUGCUGUUCCAGUCCAACCGCCUGGUCGGGGUGCCGCUGGCGCGCCUGCUGCACGUGCGCAAGACCUACGAAGCCUGGCGCCUGGGCCGGGAGAUCGACGCCCUGCUCAUGGAGAUCAUCGACGCGCGCCGCCGCAGCCGCCGAGCAGCCGGCGGCAAGGACCUGCUGUCGCUGCUGCUUGCCGGCACGGCGGCCACGGCCAACAACAAGCGGCUGCUGACGACGCGGGAGCUGGUGGACGAGUGCAAGACCUUCUUCUUCGGCGGGCACGAGACGACGGCGCUGGCGCUGUCGUGGACGCUGCUCAUGCUCGCGGCGCACCCGGACUGGCAGGACGCGCUGCGGGAGGAGGUGAUCCGCGAGCUCGGCGACGGCGACCAUCUCGACGCCGCCGCGCUUGGUCGCCUCACCAAGAUGGGGUGGGUGAUGAGCGAGGUGCUGCGCCUCUACCCGCCGUCGCCCAACGUGCAGCGGCAGGCGCUGGAGGACGUGACGGCGGCGGAAGGCCGCAAAAAAUCCGCCGCCGCCGCCGCCGUCAUCCCGCGCGGCACCAACAUGUGGGUGGACGUGGUGGCCAUGCACCACGACGUGGAGCUGUGGGGCGACGACGCGCACGAGUUCAGGCCGGAGCGGUUCGGCAGGGACCCCGUGCAGGGCGGGUGCCGCCACCGCAUGGGCUUCCUCCCCUUCGGAUUCGGCGGCCGCAUCUGCGUGGGGCGAAACCUCACGGCCAUGGAGUACCGCGUCGUGCUGGCCAUGCUGCUGCGCCGCUUCCGACUGUCCGUGGCGCCCCAGUACAGGCACGCGCCCAAGAUCAUGCUCUCGCUCAGGCCAUCCAAUGGCAUCCAGCUCCACCUCACACCACUAGAUCAGGUGGUUGCUGCUGCUGCUGCUGCUGCCACGUCAUCGUCGGCCUAGCUAGCUAGCUCUAUCUGGUCAUCACAUCUAUCAUGUCGACUUAAUAAUUUGAUUAACUAAUUAUAUAGCUGGCGUACUAAGUUGUGCUCCACUCCACUUAGUAUACAGAGAUAAACAGAUAUAGAGAAUUACUUACAUAGGAGUAUGUUUAUAUAUAUAUAUAUAUAUAUAUAUAUAUAUAUAUAUAUAUAUAUAUAUUAUGUAUAUAGGCAGAGAGGUCACACUAGUGCUGGAAUGAUUUAUAUUAAUUAUACAAUAGGCACCGCGUAUAUAUGCAGCUGCUAGUUAAAGCUCCUAUAAAAAAGGAUGCUUGUUUUGUAUCGCUACUACUAGUUGUAGUCGCAGUACGUACAAAGCGGAUCCCGCAAAUAUAUAUGCCGUAUGUACUUUCAGAGACAAUAUUAAUUACUACACUUUAUUUAUUUGAUCCUCGGUCUGUUUAUAAAUACAUGGUGGCAUUGGCUUUUUUUCCCCUCAAAAAAAAAAGAGAAAGAAAUAUUGAGAGUGGUGUUUUCUCCAAAACAAAAGGGUGAAAACGGUACCAUAUCAUUAUUAAGCAUAUAUAUUAAUUAAGCCAUCUCAUGAUCUUAUUGCUAGUAUAAUGAGAGGCGUUCCUAGCUAGCUCCUUGUGCCGGCUGGCCUGCUGAACGUGCUGGCAUGACUUCCAUGCAUGCAUUCAGUUCAAUGUAUGAAAUUGUCAUCGAUGCCAGUCACAGCCAGCAGCUACGACUGGCCGGUUCACAAUUCCAUUUCCAUAUGCAUGCAUGGAAAGUUGGCAUCAGUCUGUGGGCUGUGGGACAUAUAUACAUACAGCUUAGCGUGUGGUACAAGUUAGUAGAUUGAACGACCAACAACGACAGAUGCGACGCAUGCAUGCUUAUAUUGAGUUGAUCAAAUCUCUCCGUACGUACGUGUUACCAGCAGCUAGUAGAUAUACAUAGGCAGCUUGAUGCGCCAGCAUGCAUGUGUAAACAAAUUAAUUAAGCAUGCACAUAAUCUUUUGUAAUUUGUUCCAGGUCCAGCUCCAACCAGAGCAUCUCCAAUGGUUUGUCAUUUGCACUUGCUAUCCUUGUUUAUUUGGCAAAAACUACAAAUUUGAUUCUCCAAUGGUUUGCUAAAGGACUUGCCAAAUUUUGAGGAGUUGCUAUCCAGAGGCGCUUCACGCGCAAAUUUGAGGAGUUGCUAUCUAGAGUUGCUAUCUGUGGUGGUCAUUGCCGCCCCGUCCUCUUGCCUCCGUCGUCCGCGCGGCCGUCCUCUGUCGUCGUCCGUGCGGUCUCCGUCCGUCGUCGUCCGCGCGGUCUCCAUCCAUCAUCAUACGUGCGGCCAUCGUCCGUCAUCGUCUGCGCGGCCUCCAUCUAUCGUCGUCUGCGUGGCUGUUCUCCGUCCCUCGUCCGCGCGGCCUCCAUCCGUCGUCGUACGCGCGGCCGUCCUUCGUCGUCGUCCGCGCGGCCUCCGUUUAAUGACAACGGUGGCCAGCAGAUGGAGAUCGCCGCGAUGAAGCAGCGACGCACGGCGGCCACGAGAGUCACGACAGUUGAACGGUUGGAGGAUGUGGGCCUUCUUUUCUAUUUUACCAAGUCCAAAUGACAAACCAUUGGAGAUACAAGAUUAUUUCACUUGCCAUUUGUUUUAGCCACUUGCCAAAACACAAGAUUUGACAAAUGCAAUUUGACAAACCAUUGGAGAUGCUCUUAUAUAUGGUGGCCAUGGGUGGUUCGGAUCGGACGGCGCGAUGGAUCGAUGAUGAUCAAUCAAAAAAACGUAACGUACUGGCCGGGCUGGCAGUGGCAGGAUCAGGGGCAGUCAAUGUAAAAAAUUAAGAUACUGUAUGAUGGAGCCUGCCGUGGUCGUUUUCUUCAGCUAGCUAACUGCUCGUCGUGGUGCCGGCGCCCGGCCGGGUCAAACUUGUGUUUCAAAACCUCGUGCGCUUCUUCUCGCGCGCGCUGUGCAUGCUAGCUUCCAUGCGACCAACUAAUAGUAUGUAUUAAGAAAAGAAAAAUACUACUAAAUAGCAGAUUCGACAAAUAAUCUCAAAUAAACAAAUUGUAUUAUAACUUAUGUAAACAUCAUCCUCAAAAUAAAUAAAUUGUAUUAUAACAUAUAUAUAUAUAUAUAAACAUCGUCCUCAAAAUAAAUAACUUGUUUAAAAUUAAUUUGCAGCCAGCAGUGGAUGAAGAAGCGAUGAGGGUGACAAAAAGCUGAAACUUAUGUAAACAUCGCCCUCAAAAUAAAUAACUUGUUUAAAAUUAAUUUGCAGCCAGCAGUAGAUGAAAGAAGCCAGCAGUGGAUGGAAGAAGCGAUGAGGGUUAAAAAAAUAACUGUAAGAAGCCUGUAGGGCCCAUCCGGGUUCGAACCGGAGACCUAUUGAUCUGCAGUCAAUUGCUCUACCACUGAGCUAUGGACCCAUUAAUGUCCAUACACCGAUUGAUGACUUUUUAAAAAAAGCGUCGUCGCAUACAUCGAUUCUGCUUGCGCUGACCGAUGAGUGCCGGCGUUGGGUGCCUGGCUAUCCAUUCCAUACCAGCAAGCAAGCAAUUCAGCAUCGUCACAUCUCAUGACUGAUGAACAAGCAAGCAACACACACACAGGGGUCUUCCUCUUUGCAUUGGCAGACCGACGACGUGCAUGGAAACAGUACGUAGUGUCGUCGUCGAUCGUCCUCUUGCAGUUGCAGGAUACGAAUAUAUAUCACUCUCCUCCUGUUAUCCCCGUUAGAGCUGAACUGACUGGGCUAACAACGUUGACUGCCACCAAAGCUGACAUCCUGCAUUUCCAGCAACGCAACGUCUCGUCUGACUGUCCCUCCCUCCUUCGUUUCAGACUUUGAAAUUCUCUGAUUCGAUUCGGUUCAACCUUUGGUUAAUUAUUAGUCAGGCCUAAUUAUGACUAAUGAGUGAACAAACGCGUUGGCCUUGGCCGGCCGGUCAGUAGCUAGCUUAGCCUUUUCUCCCGGACGGUAUCCUUUUCUUUGCAUGCCCUUUAGCUCGUGCACGACAAGAGACCUCCUCCUCAUUCAGUUUUCUGAAUUUUGAUUUCAUUUUAUUUGACCAACCAUAUAUAUGCACACUUCUACUACGUGCGUGCGUAUCAAACCAAACCUUCUUUGCUACGGUCGUCGCUUCAACUUUACAUACAGACUUCACACACACGCGCGUUAGAUCUAAUCCAAUCCCAUGUUUCCAAUCCUGCCAAGCCAAUGCAAUACUCAUUCACCUUUUUUACUUAAUUUCUAAAACAACUUUUUCAUUUGACCAACCAUGCACAACAUUUGCCCACGAGACCUAGCUUCUUUGGUCGUUGCUUCUCCUUUACAGACUUUAUACACACACAAACACAAAAAUGUCAAGAUCAAAUCCAAUCCACUGCCAAGCCAAUACAUUGCCUUUUUUUUUUUCGAGUCGAAAGUUCGGACCGUCCGUCCGACCCUCAAGAUUCAACUGAUACGUACUCAUGCAGUUCUCAUAAACAGUACCAAACACAUUUUAAUGUUUGACUAAAUCUAUCUACAUUAGAAAAAAAAUGAUAGAAAAUAAAUAUCGUUCAAUUAACCAUGCAAUAUACUUUUCACAUAUCACAGUACAUCUAUCUAUAUAGACUCGUAAAUGCUAACAAUAUUUUCUAUAAACUUCAUUCUAUCAAACUUCACAAAGUUUGAACCAAUCUAGACCAAGAGUGACAUCCUUUUUCGGACACAGGCAAUAAAUCGACUUACAAUGACCCAUCCAUUCGCCUCCAAGAAUUCCAGUACCGACUCAAUCAGUAAGUACCCAUUCAUUUCACCCGGCGUCUCUUUUCUUCCAAUAGUAGCAUAUACCACAUACUAUAUAUUUAACAUAACACCAUCGUUAGGUGGCAAAGCAUCUCCCAUUAUCUCAUACAACAACAUCCCAAGUACAACAUCACAUCACAAUAAUACCAUAUACGAUAUACUCGGAGUUCAGAGUUUCCUAAACCACAGCAACGCCUACAACAGAGUUGUUAGUACAUGCAUGCUGUGUGUCCAAGGAGGAGGAUUCCACUUCGUUCCAUGUCAAGGAGCCUUAUCCACCCAACCCGACCAACCAGAUGCAACCACCACUUCCCUACUACUCGCGGAUCGAGUUGAUAUCGAUGUUGGGAGUUCUCGAGUCUAUCUGCCUCAUCAUGCCCGAUGCCCACCCGCCGCUCAUCUCAGGAGGAGGGGCCAUGCUGCUGUGGUCCGCGAGUGCCAUCGCAGGGGCCACCUCUUCGUCACCGGCGUUCGCCUCCUCGGGCUCGAUGUCCGCCUCAGCUUUCGCCUUGUUCUUCUUCGAACCUCCGUACAUGAAGCUCCCCACUAUCACCUGCAACAAUGCAAAACCAGUGAGUGCGUAAGAAACAACCCAACCACAACAGGUGGUCCAUGAACGGUGGCCAUGGUCCCUUCUCUUUAUGCACAUGACACAGCAAACAAACCAUAUGACAGCAAAAUUAUAAUACUGACAGCAUAUUCAUAUAAUACUACUUCACAAAAAGUCAGUUGAUCUAUCUUCUAUCACACUCACCUGAACUGUUCCAGCUGCUGUCAGGACUCCACCUACACUCCCACCAAUAACCCUGUGGUCAGGACCACACAAAGCUAUGCAAAGCCCUCCACUUCGGGUCCGUGUGCCACCAUCAUCUAGCACCAAGUACGACCCAGAAAGGCACAAGAUCUCAAAUCGACCCUGCCAAAUCAACAAUAAAGCAUGAGGGUACAAAACUAAAUGAGAACAAUAUAAUUGAAGUACAGAUGAACAGUUCCAUGAAAAAAAAAGUAUGGCAUGUACUGCAACCUAAAACAAGGAUAACAACAACCUUGGACUCAAAGCAGACGUUCUCAGCAUACUUAGCUAAUUAAGAGAAAGUAUGCAAACAAAUGACUCCUUUUAUGAUUUAUUCCCCCCCUUUGAUAGCAAUACUUCAGCUGUAACAUGCAAGCAAUCCAACUAUCCAGGCAAAUUCUACCAGGAAACCUUUUGUUUAAUUUGCAGUGGGAAACAUUUAUAUAUUCAAAUAUGCAACAAGAGCCUCGUUCAAAAAAAUGCAACAAGAGAAGAACAGAACACAUGCAAGCAGUAGUUUUUACGCAAAUGAUAACCAAUCGUGACAUACCUCGUAUGUAACCACACCCCCAGAGUCUGAAUCCUGGUGAAGGGUUGCUGUUGAAACAGCUCCAGUUGCUGAAAUGAUGCACACUGCCCUUGGGCCUUGUUGUGAGAAGGCCAUUAUUCUGGCAGCAACGUCCUGCGCAGACAGGAAAGCUAUAAUCAGAACCCUCAUGGUUGGUAUUUACCAGAGUUAACAAUUGCCACUAUAGCAACCGCCAACCAGAUAGCAACAUAAAUACAACAAAAAUAACAAAGCAUUUUAGUAGUUUAGUCCCAAGGUUAUUCUCUAGUAAAUAGAAACGUAGAUCAAUAAGAAAAAGAUUAUUCUCAAGUAGAUAACCCACAAAGUUGAGCUGUGCUUUAACCAAGGUUCAAUGAACGAGCCUAGGCCAGGACCUUGUAGGCACAAAACUGUUUUCCACUUUUAAAAGAAAACCAUAGGUGCAUUGUUUCCGAGAAUAGAGGAUUUUAUUGGAUAUAUGACAUUAGGUGUAUGAUUUCCACAAUAAUACAGAUUAAGACCAUGAAGUGAAAUUGUAAAUGUCACAUCAAGCAGCUUCAGAAGGCAGAAUACUAAUGAUGCAUCGUCAGCAGGUCCAAUUAUCUAGAGAAAUUAGUUGACAUGAUGUAACAAUGACAAUAAAUCAGCUGCAACCAUCCCAACCUCCUUCAAUAUCAAUGAUAAAUUCCUCAUUUGAUAGCUAACAAAAUGGCAGUAACCUAAUGUGUGGCAGUAAUAUAGAAGCCACUAAAUGUCACCCGUGAGUUGAAAACAACAAAUAGAAUUGACCACCAAAGAAGAGUUUGCUACACUACCUCCAGAUUCAUCUGGCAUUGUCUAUUCAGAUACCGCUUCUAACAGAUUCCCUAUGUUACAACAGAAAAUUAAUUGGAUAUGCACACUGGAUAUUUGGGUAAACCAGAUACAAUUUGAAGGUAAUUGGCAGCAUCAGAUACAAACCAUCACCACCCAUCACUUAUGCCACUACGCAAACAAGAUGCCCCACUCCCACAUAGCAAUCAUGCAUAAAUCAAAAAUGGGUGAAAGCGACCCUUUUGGAAAUUAAUCAUCAGCUAGUGUUCAUUGAAACUUACCUCUCCUGGUUGAAUAAUAAUCACAUGAGGAGUAAAACCUGUUCCAACAGAGCCAAGAAACCACUUUCCUAAACAAGACAAUUGAAUUUCAUCAGACGACAAAGAUACAAAAUCAGCAGUUGAUGCAUAACAAAAAAAAAGAACGCAAAAGAACAAAAAAGCUACUUAGGAAAAGGGUCCACUUCUUUCUUUUUCUUUUGGGAAGAGACAAGGUAGUAAAAGAGGUCAACUGCUUGCUUGACAUAACAGAGCCAGCGGACAAUAUAAAAUAUGUUAUCAAUUCAAGAUCAUUGAAUUCAUGAUCUCAAUUUAGAAAAAACGACAAAAAAGGGUGCCUAAACGACAUGUCAGGACCUACUCAAAUUCAGAAUAAAAUCCCGAGUAGGUCGCGCAACAGAUACGUAAACAAAACAGAACACGAGGGGAUUGUAUCAUGAUUACAGUUAUAUCUUCCAGAAGGCAAUAGAUGAAUAACGGCCUACCAAUCAUGGGGUGCGGAAGACAGGCAGUUGAUGUAACGUAUGAAACAAACCAAAAGCACAGGUGCGACAGAACACAUUAAUCAGAGUUGAUCCAGUUGCUAGAUAGAACAUAUAAGCUAAGUCCAGCUUUCAUCUUAAUACAACAAUAUGCAAUGUGUCUGGAUUCAUCAUUCAAGGAAGGUCCAACAUAACUCAAUAGGCGGCCAAAGUCAGAGCAUAUACAUACCCAAGAAGCAAUGCGAUCAUGCGAAAAGUUAUACGUUACAGAGAUUGAAACGUACCAUUAAUUGCCUAGCACAUUUCAUUCAGUUUCACAAAUAAAGUACAUAUAAGCCAUAUGAAUCAAUUAUUAUAAUGCAUAGGGUAUGUAAGUGAAAUUACAAGGCCAUGGAAGCUCACCAAGCGAAGCCAACUGUUGCAUCUUUCCAGAGCCAGGUGGCCGCCCCCUGCCACGUUUCUCUGAUGGCGCACCUGAACCUGAACCCCCUGAUGCCCCCGACCCAAAUCCAGAACCUGGAGUGCAAACCAUGGUUCCCAUCCCCGGGCUGGACGAGUGAGGCGUCGAUGACGAAGAGGGUGAUAACCCGAGAGUCACCGCCCCAUCAGGCUUAUACUUCCUUGGCCUACCCCGCUUCUUCUUCACCUGCUCAUCCUGGCCAGGCCCACUCCCCUGAUCCCCCUUAACAUCUGCGCUCACGGCCACACCCAUGCCAAUGUCCAUACCACCGCCGCCGGAGCUGGAGCCGCCACCGGCACUGUGCUGCGCCACAUGAUGUGAGGCCUCGACAUGGUGGUACCCCUGCCCAAUGUGGGGACCCCCAACAUGCGGGGUCUGGAAUGCGUACCCCGCAGAGACAGCAUCAAGAUGCUGCCUGUACCCACCAGGCGGCGGGCCGUGGAGCCCCGACGAGUGGCCGGGGACACCCGGCGCCCCGAUGCCCCGGUGCUGCGCGUAGAACGAGGAGAAGUUGGGCCCCGACGUCACCGUGGACUCCCUCCCGUCCAUUCAUAGGAAUGGGCAGCGCCGCCACCCACCGAUGCGCAGGCGGGGGCAAGCCUAGUUGCAAGGAACGGCACAAAGGUGGCUACUUUGUCUCACUGUUGGAGAUCAGAUGCUCCCGAAAGGUAUUGGAGCGAGCAAAUGGACGCAAGAAUCUCUAACUCUGAGGAUCUUGCCCUCCCCCAAGGAACUCUCGCACAAAACCGCAGUUGCUUGUGGUGGCGGGACGAGGCGAGAUCAGAUCGAGGAACGAGAGAUCUCAAGAAAGCGGUGGGAUUUGUGGAGACGGAUGGAAUGGAACGCGAGGCAUGGAUGAGGGGAAAAAACACAAUCUUUGCAACAAAUGGCCGGAGCGAGAAACGGAGGGGAUUUGUGGCGAGGCUUUCGGUGGAGACCGACCCUCUGAGACGAAGGGUGGCGGCGCCGGAGGGUUGGGUGGCUCGCGCCGGGAUCUGCUCGGCGGCGGAUGAGAAGGGGGCGAUCCGAUCGGGAAUGGCGAUGCGGAAAUGGGGCGCUAAAACCCUAGAGAUGGGGGGCUGACGGAAGGAGCGAGGGAUCAGACUCAGAGCAAGGGGAGGGGACGGACCCAAGAGGAGGAAGAGCGAGCAUGUAUGCUGUAUGUGUGCGAGGAGAGAGAAACAGCGGGAGGAGGGAGAAGGAUUUUCUGUGAAUGGCACAUUGCUACUCAUACUCAGCCCGUUUGGUUAAUAAGCUAUGGUAUAAACUACUGUUGGCUAAUUUGUUGGAUGAAAAAAACACUAAUGAAUGAUUAACAGAUUCAGUCGAUAAGCUCAAACGAACAAGCUAUUGUGACUCUGUAUGUGAGUUGAGUGUAGUGGUGAUCAUGAAAGUGUUGAAUUGAAGGUUCAAAUAACAUGUCAUGAUCGGUACAAGGUGAUUUUAUCACUCUAAGAUUGUCAUCGAGAUUUUAAGGUAAUCUUAGGUUUCUACUCUAUAUCUAUUGGACAUUUAAGGCUACUUUCAUCAAUUACAAUAUUUUCCUACUUCUUUUUACUUUGAUUACUAAUGUCUAUAAAAGUAUGAGGGUAUUAUAUUAAAUAAAAGACAAUAUCUUUUAAGCACUGGCAGAGCCACCGCUCGGCCACCCUAGGCGGUCGGCCGGUCUUGUCGCCAAUGUUCAAAAGAAAACUUUCUUUAUAUCAAAGUAGAUCCCUGAUUUCCUAUAAAUUUCUAGCUAAAUAUUUUUGUAUAAUAAAAAUUACUCGGGCUCCUAAAAGCUUCUGGCUCCGUUAAUGGUUUUAAGGAUACAUCGCACCUUAAUAUAUGAGUUUACGUUGAUAGUCCUUCGAUACCGUGACCAAGAAAGGCUAAGGAUUGCCAAUUUUUAUUUGAUAAUUACCUCCUUCUUAAUGCAUAGGCGUGGUUCCCUAAGUAAUCGGUUGCUAAAUCCAUACUAACACCAAGCAAAAAAGUUGUAAGUUGUUAUCGCGUAUGGCAGAGCACACCCACACCUCUUCCCCCGCCUUUGCAUCUAAAUUCACAUGUGGCCAUGAUCUCCUUUGCCCCACUACUUCUGGUUUGACCUGUUAUGAGUCUACAAUUAAACUAAUAAUGUCCUCUACCUGCCACUUCUCAAACUGCAGGCAUCUUUGGACCAAAAUUUUCAAGAUGCAUGCCAUGACCUAUAUAACUUUCCAUGGGGGAGGACUAUGGCUAUGAAAUCCCAGUGAACUCUCCCUUCUUAUUCUAAUUCAAUGUUCUCAUUUAUUCAUUUUUUUGUGUUUCCGCUAUAUGUUCCUUCUUACGAUCUCAUUCUUCUAUUAAUCUUUUGUCAUGUCACAAGUGAUGAGGAUCCAUGAGGAGGCAAAGUGCAACCAGAUGUUGCUGCAGAUGGUGUUCAUAUUUCUUAUGGUGCGAUAGCAUAUGCCAUCUUAGGUGGAGGUGUUGGUGCUAAGUUUAAACUUGUUAACAUCGACUCAACCCAAUUGCACUAGGCAUCCUCGACGUCAAGUUCUUCCUCUUUGACUCACGCCUCGCACAAGUUCGUCCUCAACGGUAUGACACAAUGAUGUUAGAGCUUUGUAUGUGAUGACGUUGUAGAGCGUUGGCGUUGAGGUUCUUGUUAGAUGGAAACGGGAGAAUUAGAGUUGAGGCUCCCAUAGUACGUAUAUGGUGUUAACGAGGAAUGACCAUGCAUUUGAUACGCCUAUCAUACAAGGAGCCACACUUGGAGAAAAUAAAGAAAAAACAGAGAGAAAAGGUUAGGUGAUGUAUACCACUAGAAAAACAAGAGUUUGCUCAUACGACUUAGUCUAAAUAACAUUUCUAUUUUUUGAUGGUCAAGUUUAAACUUUGGCUUAGGAGAUUAAAGCAUUACUCAUGAUAACACUUUACAUGAACCCUUGGAUAUAUAUUGGCAACUAAAAAAUACCUUUAAUGGUAAGUGAUUGGUUGUUGCUAUCUAAACCCAUAUUCCAAAAGAAACAAAGUAUUUUAAAACUUAUAUAUAUAUAUAUAUAUAUAUAUAUAUAUAUAUAUAUAUAUAUAUAUCCAAAUUCUCGUUUCCUCCUUCCAAUUACCUCUAACCGAACAUGUUGACAUUUUGGCAAUGAGUUCUAGCCACACAACCAUUCAACCAACGGUUGUCACCUCAACAACAGCACGUGCAACAGUAGAUAGAACUGUCGCUUAAUUAGAAGCGAACACUCCCAACGAUUUCAUUGAGAUUGAGCGAACAUUUAAAAUUACCCUAAAAUAAUCUUAAAAAAGAUUAUCCUAAAAUAAUACUGAUAAUAAAAUGUUUAUUCAAAAACUUCACGUGACUUUAUUGAAUAAAUAUACAGGUUCAUGCAAAACACAUUAUGUUCAAAAUGCACACUCUGAUAAGGUUCUUUUUCGUGCAAAAAAUAUAUAAAAAGACAUAAUCUACUUAGUGUGUUUUGUCAUCUCAAACAAUAAAAAAUAAAAUAAAAUGCAGUCCCUGUACCUUUCUUUCAUCAUCUAUGUUAACUGAAUUAACCAACAAUGUGUCAGGAUUUUAUAAUCGGAUUAACCAACAGUUUUUUUAUUAACACGAGUGCAAACAGAGUGGCACGGGAUAGCUGUGACAAAGGAUCCUAGCCUUGACCGGGGUACGGGGACAAAGACACAUCGCUUGCUGAGGAUACGCGUAGGAUAGGAUGACAGUAAUAAUAACUGCGCUGUGAAGCCACCCCACAUAUAGCUGAGCAAAGCUAUUGCCAUCAAAAAAGAGAUAUUUGUUAUCACUUGUUCAAGAGGAUCAUUAGUACAAGAUAUUUAUUUGUCCAAAAGAACGCAUUUCAAUUUUCAACGGAGAGAGAGAGAGAGAGCGCUGUUGAUACGCAUGGAACACAAAAAUUCAGCAACACCAAAGGCGGCCAUACCCCCAACUGUGUGUGUUUCUUCAGAAACGGUUUCUCUGAAAUGACAAACGGCCGUACCUUGUUGGAACAUGAUUUUUUUUCCGUGUUGGUUCUGUAAAAUUCCGAAUUUUUUCUUCAAAAUUUCAUUUUAUUUUUUUAUAAAUUCAGUUUUGCGUUCCAAACAGAUGUUUAGGCCUUGUUCAGUUUCCAAAAUUUUGAGUUUUUAGUACUAUAGCAAUUUCAUUUUUAUUUGAUAAAUAUUAUCCAAUUAUGAACUAACUAAGCUCAAAAGAUUCAUCUUGUGAUUUGCAGUCAAACUGUACAAUUAGUUUUUGUUUUUAUCUAUAUUUAAUGCUCCAUGAAUAUGCUGCAAGAUUCGAUAUGAUGGAGAAUCUUAAUUUUUUUUAAACUAAACAAGGCCUUAUUGGGUUUUAUGUUUCCUGAUUUCCUCCGUGUGAGGCCUUGUUUAGUUCACCCUGAAAACCAAAAAGUUUUCAAGAUUCCACGUCACAUCGAAUCUUGCGACACAUGUAUGAAACAUUAAAUAUAGACAAAAACAAAAACUAAUUACACAGUUUGUCUGUAAAUCACGAGACAAAUCUUUUGAUCAUAGUUAGUCUAUAAUUGGAUAAUAUUUACCACAAACAAACGAAAAUGCUAUAGUUGCGAAAUCCAAAAAAAUUCGCAUCUAAACAAGGCCUGAGAUUGUUUUUAUCUGGUAAGAACGAGUCCAAAGGCAGGCAACAAAGUGGUGACAUGAGCAUCACGUACUCGCACCCAGCUACGUAGGUUCCAAUGGCCUCAAGCUGACCAUGUGCCAGGCUGCUUUCGACACAUCGUCACUACGUCCGAGGAGAGGAGAUUUGCCUUCUUUUUGUUACAAGGAGAUUAAACAACUGCUACUACACCAGCAAAAGGACAAAAUGCAAGUGUGAUUCCAGGCAUACCAAAAUAGCAGCAUAGUAUUUCCUCAUAUGAUGGUUAGUAUAAGGAGCAUGUUACUACUUUCUCCGUUUUUUUAAAAAAAAUACCAUUUUUAGGUUUAAAUUAAUUUAAACUUGCUUAAUUUUAACUUAGCUUAUAAAAAUAUUUAUCAAUUAUAUAUAUAUUUAUUGUGAAAAGGUAUGAUACGUACUUAUUAUGCAUCAUACAUAUUCAUAGACUCAUCGGACGGAGGGGUUAGUGCACAAGAACAAGAAGCUUCGCAAUCUGAAAACGUUCAGGGAAACUGGUGACAAAAGAGCAUGCAUCACUUGUCAACAUUAUUGUGCUGCUGCACAGGCAAGAAAAGCAUGGAUUGAUUUCAGUGGACCCAUACCACACAACACUGUAGACCGACAAAUGUAAAUGCUGCUGCAUCCCAAUCAAAAAGAGCAUAAAGAUACAAAUCUGAAUCAAUACCAUUGAUAUUGAGGCCUUGUUUAGUUCGCAAAAAUUUUCAAGAUUUCCCAUCACACAUCGAAUCUUUGGUCGCAUGCAUGGAGUAUUAAAUAUAGAUAAAAAUAAAAACUAAUUGUACAGUUUAUCUGUAAUUUGUGAGAUGAAUCUUUUGAGCUUAGUUACUCCAAUUGGACAAUGUUUGUCAAAUAAAAACGAAAGUGCUACAGUAGCCAAAAACGAAAAUUUUUGUGAACUAAACAAGGCCUCUGUUGCCAAACACAUUUAUACUCUACUACUACACGCGAGUACAUAAAGGCAAAAUGGUUAACAAGCUGCAGCUGCGCCCGAUAGGAGUUUACACGGUUCCCAUCUGUCCUCAAAAGCUAUUCAUUCACGUGGGCAUAGAACUUUGCCAUUUAGUUCAGAGUUCCAGCAUUGGCUCGACACUUAAGCUGAUGAUGUUUGUUGUGCUCUGCAGUCACUUGUCGACCUCCAUGGCUUGCGCGGCUUUGGCUUUCGCUAAGGCCGAAAGUUUCGUCUUCACCUUUUUCUUCCCAACCUUAAACUGACCACCCUUACGUUUCUUUUCACCACCAUCUAUCUGAACAAUUUGAGGAAAAAAAGAACGACAUUAAGACAAAUGUGUCAUGUACUUAGGCUUUUCAAAUCUUAGUGUUAGUGCAGCAUCAUGGUCGAACAUGUAGUGAAAUCUGAUGAACUGAUGAAGGGAAGAAAUUUAAGCUACCAUAUUUGUUUAUAGCUAGUGAUGCAUAAAUGAAGAAUAAUUUGCAAAUCUCAUGGCAGCUAGCGCAAAUCUUAUCUUUUUUUUAUGGUAGACUGUCACAGAAUAAAGGAGAUUAUCAAUGUUUCUCUGGAGAGUUAGGUGAUCCAGAUCUUAAUACAAGCAAAAGUACAUAACCAAACAACAACAGCAAAAUUCAAUGAGCCAGAGGAGGGAAAAACUAAGUAUAAAGUAUAAAAAGCCACCACCAUAAACUAGGAGUAACCAGAAAAUCUCAGGACAAAGCACUGAAUGCUACUAAAGGAUUACGGUUCUGGUUUUGGAAGACAGCAGAUUAGCACUGUUAUCCCAAAGCCACAAAAUCAUCAUGAGAUGCACAUCAGACAGCAUGUGCGGCUGCGGCACAAAGGAUCACUUAGCUGCCACGAAGAACUUGGCAACAAGCCAACAAGUACAUAAAAUGGCUGAUAGGCAAACUUCAGAUCACAAAUGUAGGCAGUCAAUCAUAAUGCUGAAUUGCGCAAAUGAGAGAACAACUUGAUACAGCUUAAGAGUAAAUGACUGCUUUCAUGCACCAGUCCUAAAGCACACUACAUUUGGUUACUAAUAACUGCUAAACCGUUUACAGGAGUAAAACCGGAAACCUGAAAAUAGCUGAGAUGAUAAAACAAUCAAAGCAGCUGCAAGCAAUUCCAGGCAGAUGCCUAAUGACCAGUGAUGAGCAUGGCAUUUCAUGAAACAUAAAGAAAUAAAUUGCAACAUAACUCUUACAACUUCCCAGUUAUAAACAAGAAAAUGCCGUCUCUUAAACCUUCCCAGGAAAUCAAGACAAUGCUACGUUGCCUAUUCCUUUGGACAAGCUGAGGCUAUUCCUUUGGACAGGUUGAGGGACGAACAUCAUGUUCAGUGUGCUCACAGUAUCAUCAUAUAAAGACCAUGGUUUAUUGAUGGUGAGAGAGAUGGCUUGGGAGAAACUAGAACAUGUAUAAUAUGGUCAGAACCUCAUGAGAAACAGAGAGAAAAUAAUGGCCACAAUAACCAUUUUUCACACCUGUCAUGUGUUCAGUUUGUUGGGUGACUGCAAACCCAAGCUGGAGCAUCAUUAAGGGCAAAAGCUCCUGAGUGUGGGCAGUUUGAAGCAAAAUCAGGCGACUAGCUAGUCUCUUAUUUUGUUGUACUAGGCUACUAGCUACUGUUAAAUUAAUAAAGACUCCUUUGCCUAAUGAGAGAAUUCACCAGCUGCAGCCGGUUAUCAUGUUGCUUUUAAGCAAGCUUAUAAGGCAAAUGAUAGGAAAUCGAGGUGCCAUAGCACACAGAGAGAGGCAUCCAGCGAUGUCAAUGAGUAAUCCCUUUCUGUAUUUACAGAGCGUCCAAUACAGCAGGAAUAGAGGAAUAAGGAGCGAGAGCACUGGAGGGUCGGCGGUACCUUCAUCUUGGAUUUCUUGGCUUGCAGCUUCUUGGCCUGCUUCUCCUUGGCCUCCUUCUCCCCUGCACACCCCGCGAGUAUCCGAUCACCAAAUGAGACCACAAAUACUCCCCAAGGCGACGAUUGAAAUUGGACAAGCAAGGGAAAGGAGGCAGGAGAAGAUGGAAUCGUACGCUGGAGGUCGAACUCGUACUGCUUCUUCCUCUUGGCGAGGUUGUUCUUCUUGGACAUGUUGCUUCCCUCGCCGUCGCCGCCAACACCACAGCACAGGGAGGAGGAGCCACCAAAGGAAGGACAGGACUGGAGACAGGAGAGGGGCAAACCCUAAGCCAAACCGAAGUCAGCGGGCCCUUCAAUCUGGGCUUGUGGCGGUGUUCAGGCCCAAGUACUGCAUAUGUGACCCAUACCGGAACGACGAAGGCCCGGCUACUUCCAAGGCCCAUCCACGGUGAUCGUGCGCACGUGGGCGGGACACCUAGCCGGUACGUGACACGUGUCACCGGGCCGACAUCUGCUGGGGCCCGCAGGCAGGAGAAAUCAUGCGGACGCGUGGCGCAUGGCCGGUGCCGACGUGUCAGUCAUCAUUCUCCCAAGGAUUAGGGUAAUUUAUUCAUGCAUUCACACCUGCCUGCCUCGUUUAGGGAUGCCACUGCUGCAAAAGCAUUUCCUUAAUUUUGAGGCUCCGUCUUUCCAAAAGAUGGUUUUGAUUGAUUAGCUAGUGUAACGCGUAAGCUCUACUACUCCUACCACUGAUCGAGCUUCUUCUUGAAGCAUGUAAAUUAAAGGGGGCAGGAAGCCGCAGCUUGCCUGCCCAUCGUUUCAUUUCAUCGGCGCUUCCUUUGUUGAACACAAGGGGGGAGAUCCGUCGGUCCAUGGAGUCCAAGGAGGAGGCGAUGAUGAUGGUGGCAGCGCCGGCGGCCGGUGCCGGAGAAGCCAAGAGUAAGACUCACUGCUGUGCCCUUUCGUUGCGUCGCGUCUCUCUUGGCUUGAAUGUCGGUAGCUAGGCCGGAUGGAUUGCUUUGCUUUGCUUUGCUUUGCUUGCCACAAGUCUGCUAACCGGGCUGGCCGGCCGUGUCUCUCACUCUCUGCGCGCAGAUGGUCCGCCGGUGGCAGUCGACAAAGCUGGAGCUGCCCCGGCUGACAGAGGUAGCUAGGAAAACGAUUCUUCAAUGUAUUGUACACAAUUAAGAGAGACAGACAGAUGAUUAAAAUUUUUAUUUUCUUCUUUGUGUGGACUGGAACUGGACAGCAGAUGCUGCCGUGCUUGCAAAGGUGGAGAUGGACAGGAAGCUGUCUAUGAUCAAGGCGUGGGAGGAGAGCGAGAAGAGCAAAGCCCAAAACAAGUAUGUAGGCAGUGCUCAGCAGCUACACUCUGCUGCUCUGCUAGUAUAGGAUGCCUGCCUGUUUAUAGCCAAACUGUUUGUUUUAUUUACUACCUUUGUUCUUUGCUCGCGACGCGACGCGAUGGCGGGGCACGCAGCGCAGGGCCGAGAAGAAGAUGCUGUCGGCCAUCAUGGCGUGGGAGAAGACGAAGAAGGCGGCAGUGGAAGCGAAGCUGCGAACCCGAGAGAGGUCUGUCUCAAUCGCGAUCUCUCCAUGCAUGCAUCGCUGCUAGCUAGCUGAGGGUUGGUUGGUCAGACUGAAUGAACCCCUGCUGAUUUGCAUUGCAGGAGAAGCUGGAGAAGAAGAAGGCGGAGUACGCAGAGAAGAUGAGGAACCAAGCGGCAGGCAUCCACAAGGCCGCGGAAGAGAAGCGCGCGUCGGUGGAGGCGACGCGACGCGAGGCCAUCCUCAAGUACGAGGACAUGGCGGUCUACAUCCAUCCAUACAUACAUACUCCUACUACUACAUAUAUUGCUUUCGUCCCUCAAAAAUCUUUGGCUAUUGCUUUCUUGUGUGCUCUGCUGGGUAGGUAUUGUUUGCUCAAGGGAAUUGCUUGUAAUGCAUAUCCGUUGUGUGCUCUGUGCAGUAUGGUGUAUUAUAUGUAAAAAAAAAAAUGUAGCCACGCAGACAACAUUUCCAGUCUCAAAGCAUGAACUGCACUGCAUGUAUACCAGGAUUUGAUUGAUGUUGCUGCUUCAGUUUCGUCAGAGAAAUGGAAUGCAAAAACGUGCAGCUAGCAAUGCAGAGGCCCUUCAAAGAUUUUACUGAAAACAAACUAACAGCAAUGCAGCAUAAUACUAGUAAGUAGUACAAGACAACGACUGCAACGCUAGCUACAUACUCCUCCCUACUUGCAAGUUGCAACCACAAACAGCAAAGCAACGGCGAUACCACCAUCACGAUCAGGUGGGGGGCAGCAGAGCGUGGCCGUACCGCUCGUUGGCGCGGCGCGCGUAGAGGUACACGGCGAGGGUGACGUCGGCCACGGCCACGGCCGCGAGCGUCGCCACGAGGGGGCGGCCAGCUCCAGGGCCGCGGCCUCGGCGAGCGCGGACAGGAGACGCUUCGACCGCGGGCUCAGGCCGCCUGCGUCGCGCAGCUCGGCCAGGGCGAGGUUCAUCUCCUCCGGGAGCGCAGCCGCGGCGGGCUCGGUGUCGAUGGCCGAAUCCGCGCGCGCUGGCACCUGUGCAACCAAACAAAAGAACAGGAUAAUAAUAAAAAAAAAACAGGAUCCAUCAUUAAAUUCGAGUAACUACACACAUGCGAGAAGUACAGUAUCAGCGCGAAUUUCAAUUUUCAAAUGCUCAAACCCAACAACGAACAAACUCGGAUGAAAAAAAUAGACAAACUCGCGAUGCAAAUGUGGCCAAACAGAACACGGCCGACAUUGCAGCGACACCGUGCUUCGAACAGAACACGCAAAAUAGGGAGGCGGAUCCGCACACGAUUUGCAUGCAUCAAUGUCAGAAGCAAUUCGAAUGCAGCAAAUUGUCACCACCCACCUCGGUGACGCAGGAAUCGGCGGAAGCAGUCAGUGCGUCAUCGGCAGCAGCGGAGACGACGGACGUGGAGGAAGUGUCACCGGAGACGACGUCGGGGUCCGGGAGCUCGAGGAGCGGGGCCAGAUCGUCCUCUUGCGUGGCGAGCCCGUCCGCCGGCACGGGUGCGGGUGCGGCGGCGGCGGAGGGGAGGGUGAAGUAGUCGUCGUCGUCGUAGAUCAGGCACUUGGCCGCCACCUGAUCAGCACACGAGGUGCAUGAUAGUAGGCAGGGAAAGACGGAAGCCAAGGCGGGAGUAAAAGGUUAGCCUAGGGAGGCACUGGAAUUACCUUGGCGUUGGAGGCGGAGUCACGGGAGGCGGCGGCGGCGGCGGCGGCGGUCGACGAGGAGGUUGACCCGACGGAGCUGCGAGGGGCGGAGCAGGAGGACAAUGAAGAGCGGAGCGCGGAGGGGCGCGGGGUGUGGAUGGCAGCGGAGGCUUUCGCCAUGGCGGUGCAGCGCGGCGCGAACUGGGCGCGAGGGAAGGAGCGUGUGGCUGCGAUCAGAGCGGAGAGGGAAGGGGACUCGUGAUAUUCGUGGAGGUGGAGGAGAAGACGGAAUUUUGGGCCAGGAUGGGCCCUUCUGGUUCUGGGUCCAUAGCACAUGCCCUUUCUUCUUCUGGGCCUUAUUUAAUGAUGAACUAAAGGAUUGUUUUGUAGUAUCAUUUUAUAUUCUGCUAAAAAACAAUUUAUUUUAUAGGCACAAAUAAUUAUUCAUAAUACUAGCAAAUAUGUCCAUGCGUUGCAUAACAUCAAAUGGUCAUAGAAAAUGAUGACAUAAUGUUAUAUAUCUAUUUAUAUUUAUCCUUCUUAUAAAAUUUAAAGUCCAUAAUUUAUUUUAUUGAUAACUUUCACAUCUAUGAUAUUAGAUAGUUAAUAUUUACAAUAAUAUGUAGCUCAGAGACAUAUUUAUUUAAUAAUAAAAAUAAAAAUUAGUUAAACCUUAUCUUACUUUAAUGUUACCCCUUAAUAUACCUUAGUAUUAUAUUAAACCAUGAGAAGUUUGUUGCUAACUUUAUUAUUUUUAUUUCGAUUAGGAUUUUUCUAUGAAAUAUGAUAUAUCAGUUAAAUAUAUGUAGAUUAUGAACAUAUGGGCUUAUGAAGUGUUCAUAUGACAUAACAACACAUCGCGCAAAGGUAGUGGAAACAUCCUCAAGCGUAAAUUUAGGUAAAUUAAUAAAUCAGUGAGAUAUGCAGGAAUGGUGCUAAAACUUUUACCAUAAAUCAAGCAUUACAUUAAAUAGGCUACUAUAAAAUUUUUAUAAUAAUUAGAGCAAGAUAACUAAAAUUUAAAUUUUGCACUAAAAAGCAUAGGCAAGCAUCUUCAGCAAAAAAAAACUAAAAUUUGUGAUAUUUUUUGUAGUUUUUAGAUUUUUCUUAUAAAUUACUAUACAUUUAUAAAUUUUCAACCGAUCAAUUACUAAAAAAACAUAGGCAAGCAUCUCCGGCAAAUAAAAUGUACUAAAAUUUAUGAUAAUUUUUUACUACAUGGAUCUAUUGGUGCUGAACAAAAUUUGUUUUGUAUUUUUUAGAUUUUUCUAUGAAUUACUACGCAUUUAUCAAUUUUCAGCCGAUUUAAAAAAUAAAAAGAAAAGUAAAUUAAUAGGAUAAACACUUUGCAUCUAGGUCCUUAUACUUUUCUUAUUUUCAACUUGCUUUGAUGUGUAUAGGAGAUUUUGCAUUUUGAACCCUAAUAAAACUUCUAUUUUGUUGUCCUCUUUCAGGAUGGACUUGAACGGACACUUGGAUGGAGGUAGAAAGAAAGUUGGACAGACUAAAAUUUUUAUAAUUUAUUAUUAAAAAUAGAUUAUAGAACGUAUGUUUUUUUCACCUUUUAUUUUAUCGCCCAUACACGGUUUGAUGAGAUACAAAUGGACUUAAUCUAGAGUAGCGUGUAUAAGCAUAGUAUAGAGUCCAUUUUCUAUGGAAAAAACUAAACCUAACUUAACAUCAACAACAACUUGUAAGCGUGUAAGUGCAAAUUGUGUAUGAUCUUGCGCGACACGCUUGACAGGCAAAACCGUGAAGGCUGUAUUUGCAUUUUUAAAAUUUGUUUUAGAUUUAAAAUGGAGCUUUUGUCGUUUGGAAAAUGCUCGUGGAAAUAGGAUGUAGGGCUUGUUUGGGACAGCUCAACUUCACUACGAAAGCUGUUUUUUUAGAAAAUAGCUUCAUGAGUGACUUUUUAGAUGAAGCUGAGCUGUGUUUGUUAAAAGUGUUUGGCAAAAUAGCUUCACCAACUACUUCAUACAUAGUUGAGAAGAGAAAUGAGGGACAAGCUGCAAUAAGCUACUUUUUUUCCAGCUUUAUCCAACUUAUGUCUUUGUGAGAGGAGGAGAAAAACAGCUUCGCCUAUAGUAUAUACGGAUCGAGUUGUAUCAAGUGGUACGGAGAAAUACACGAGUACCUACUCCAACACGGAGAGAGAGCUUGUGGAUGGGAUUGAUACACAGUAUCAUUUCUUGUCUUCCACAUGGGACCCACCUUCAACCUCAUUAUCAUAUUCUGAUACAGGCAGCCGAAACCGAAAAAAAAAAUACUGCAGAUUAGACUAUCCGAUCCAUCGACGCCGCGGGACAAAGCCGUUUGAUCGAUCGAUCCAUCUCGCGCCGUGUUUCCCGUCUCUCUCCACGCCCGCUCGCGGAUUCGCGACUCGCAAGGUCCGAUCCCGAAUUUUCCUGGUCGCGGAUUCCGCAUUCCAAACCGACCGCUGACCUUCUUGUCCUUCUGCAGCUUCUAGCGUCUUGGUUUUCGAUUGCUGCAGGAAGGGAAGAGGCGGCGGCAAUGGCGGGGAGAGCCAACAUCCCGACCAACAACUCUGCGCUAAUCGCCAUCAUCGCCGACGAGGUAGCUCGCUGCCGCCCCCCACGUUUCUUCUCCCUUUUCGUCUCAUUACUCGGGAAUUGCCGAAUCGGGAUGUUUGCUUAUCUGAUGUGUGAAGAUGCUAGGGUGUCAAGUAGUUGAGUUUUUUUUUUUAAUGUAUGAUAAUUAAAAAUCCGUCUCUGGUAGAGAUCAGAUCCAUAGCAGGACGCUACGGACGUUAAGAAAAAAAAAAGAAUGAUACUUCAAACUUCGUCUCUCUAGAGAUCAGAUCCGCAGCAGGAAGCUCUGAACGAAGAGAGAUUCCUCGCCGUUCCUUCCUCACUAGUAGCUCGACAUUACCGGCCUUUGUUACGCGAGAAAUAUAACUGCUGCGUUAGCUGUUCAGUGGCGAUGGAUCUGUGAAUCGAUUCUUGCUGUUUGGCACUGAACUCAUUAUUUAUCCAUGCAUUAUUGCUUCUCGGCUGAAGCAUAAGCAAUAGUAGAUAGGUUACUGUACGAACACAGCAUUCACUAAGUGCUAAUUGAUUGAUCCUCCUAUCAUAAGAAGGGGGGACACAGAAAUAGUCUACUACUUGGUAGCAUAGUAUUUACUUCAUGCAUUAAACAAGACAUGUUUAUUUUUUAAUAUAGAUAUAUGUGACUAGCAGCAUAAUGCAGUUGGUAACACAGUAUUUACUUCAUAACCAUCUGUUUGUAUUGGUGGCAAGAAAGGAAAUCAUGCCAAAUUUUACUACUUGCUGAACAUAGGGCUGAUAGGUUGUUUCCCAUGCCACUUCACAGCAGCUAACUCUAAAAUGGAAUUAAGUGGCAUGUAAGGGAAGAAUGUUUGUGUCGAUGACAAUUAAGGAAGAAAAACUUUUCCAGUGCCAAAUAAGACCCCACUUUAAUUUCUGAUAGCAAUUAAGGGGAAAAAAAAAACUUUUCCAGUGGAUGGUCAGGCAAAAUGACUACAUAGACCCCUGAUAAUUUCAGUUCUUUUUUCACAUGUACUACAAAGCUUUCUUGGCACUGGGAUAGGCUACAGUAGACAGUGCUUCUCCAGUCAGAGAAUAGCCUUUUAAUUUGUUCUUAAUACCUGCAAGAUGUCACCUUUAGAACUGCCAGGUUUUCUAAUUUAAUCUUAGUGCACAGUUAUAAUUCUACUAUGGGAAUGAUUUUGUCGUCUCCACUUUGUUUUGCAGGACACGGUUACUGGCUUUUUGUUGGCUGGAGUUGGCAAUGUGGAUCUGAGAAAGAAAACAAAUUAUCUUAUUGUUGAUAACAGUAAUUCCUUGAAACUGUUAAUAUGCAAAGCAAUUUAAGUUUUCUGUGGUAGUUUGAACUUGCCUAGCUUUAGACUUCACAAUAAUGAUGUUAACUUUCAUACAAAGGUCAUGCCUUACUUGCCUACUGAUCCAUAGUACUAAUAUAGAGUUAAAUGUUCAACUUGAUGAAUCUUUUGAAAGCUCCACAGCAUCGUGCACUCACGGAUAAAAGGGCCUCUGGCCAUUGUGUCUCACUCAGUUUAUUGCAAUAUUGGCACGCUGGCAGAUUGCUUCAGCAAUGGCUCUUCAUAGUAAGGUUUUUUAUGAUAGCUUUUGUGCCAAAAAUUGUACUUGAACAUUACACAACCACCUGCUGAACAGCACAGAUACGGAUACGUGUAUCGGUAUCGGAAGGAUACGGAUACGUGGAUACGGCAAUUUCCUAAAAAACCCGAUACGCAGAUACGUUUACUAUUUAAAAAAUAAAAUUUAAAAAAUAAUAGUGCAGUUCUGAAUUUAAAAUUGACAACAAUAAAACACUGUAAUCAACUACUUAAGUGUAUUAUUAUUACACCACAGCUGGUUGGCUAAGCAAUUUCAUGGCUAAACUCAUCAAUAAGGGAGCAGAUCAUCCAUGAUUUCAUUGAUUUAUCCACCAAGUCAUAGGGGAAACAGCCCACCAUCUAUAGGGAAAAGAGCACUUGCACUGCUCAUAUUUGGAGACACCAUCUACUGCAUACAAGCAAUCAAGCAACAAGAAGUCACUAACUGCACUGCAGAAAGAGAAUAGAUCGAGAAUGUGGAGAUGAAGACGAAGUGGGGAGCAAAGAAAUCAAGAACGAGCGGACACGAACUGAAGAGGAAGAGGAAGAGGAGAUCGAGAACGAGUAAACUCACGGGAGUUCAUUGGAGCUAGAUCCAUGUCGCAGGGGCAGAAACCAGUCGCUGGCGGUCGGCGAGUAGGGACGGAGGCUCGUCACCGGCAGCUGGCGGGCUGGCGAGCAGGGAUGCGGCGUCGCUGCGCGGUGUUGCGGCGCGAGGCGCGAGUCGCAGGCGUGCGGCCGUGCGGGAGUGUGAGCAUCGGAGGCGUUGGACAGAGGGAUAAGGUUUGUCUAAUUGGGCUGGGCCGUAUCCACACACCAGAUACGUAUCAGCCGACGUAUCCAAAAUUCAUGAAAAAAAGAAAAAAUCGGAUACUUCACCGAUACGUAUCGGCGGCGUAUCGGAUACGUAUCCGUAUCCGAAACGUAUCGGAUACGCGAUACGCGCUGCCAGGGACGUAUCCGUGUAACGGAGACCACCUGCGAAUUCCAGUGACCGGUUUAGCUAAUGUGUCGAACCUGAAGUUGCUCUAUUAGGACGUAAAUUUUGCCGUGGAAGAUACUCUUCUAAAUUAGCUUAUUAAGUGUGAGCUUGAUUAUAGAUUAAUUGACACAUUUAGUUUUCCUUUGGCAGUUGGUGUACUUUUUUGAACGAUGAAAGUUAAAGCUUUCAGAAAACUGAAUUUUAUUUUCUACCUCAACAUUUUUUAUGGCUUCCUGUAUUUAGUUGAAAUGCUGAUCUGCUAGCAUUAACUUCAACUUUUUUUUGUAUUGUUCUUAUUUGUUAGUAUGUGUUGAACAUAAAAUCCUGUGUGUUCACUGAGUUAUGUCUUUAUGCUACAGAAACAACAGUUAAACAAAUUGAAGAUGCAUUUAAGGAGUUCACCGCCAGAGAGGACAUUGCGAUUGUACUCAUCAGCCAAUAUGUAAGUAGUCUUGUUUAAUACAGUUGUUUUUGUCCAGCUGUUUAUUCUUUUGUAUCAUGGGAACAUGGCAGAGCUAAUUUUUCUGCCUCAAAAGUUCAGGCAAAUGAGUUAGUUCUGUUAAAUUUGCUCUCAGUUCUAAACACAUUAAAAUGUUUUAGGGGUAAAAUUAUGGAGCUUGUGGUAUCAUCACGACAUGCUUGCCUAUUUCCCUGCAGGUGUAAUAAUUAGUCAAAACUGCUUAACCUUUGGUUGUGCUUAGUUCUAGACUUACAGACUUACAGUAAAGUGCUUGCUUAGUCUGCAGAACUUAGGCUCCUAAUAUUGAAUGAACAUUGGAAUUCCUGCAAUGCACCAAAAUCAGCUUUAAGCCUUUGCAUCUUGAGUAGUUCUGUAAAAGUUGAAAUUGAAAUGCUUAAAAAGAUGAAAUGGAAUCUGUUCUCUGAGAUGUUGAAUUUGUGUCUGUCAGGUUGCAAACAUGAUAAGGUUCUUGGUAGAUGGCUACAACAAACCUGUUCCUGCUAUACUGGAGAUCCCGUCCAAGGACCAUCCAUAUGAUCCAGCGCAUGAUUCGGUUCUUUCUCGCGUGAAGUAUCUAUUUUCUGCUGAAUCAGUGGCCUCAGAUAGGCGAUAAAAGUCUUAUGACUUCAUGUAUCUUGUCUAUGAUGUGCCUGGGCCAUUUUAUUGAAAAUGAAGAGGUAUUAACAUGUUCUGUAUCUGAAUGAGAUUCAGUCACCGAUGAUUUUUUAUUUAUUUGUCACAAUUUGUAUUUUCGUAAUCACAAUUUGUAUUUGGAGGAUAUAUUCUUUCCAGCUCAGUACUGUACUUCGAACUGUACUUCGUGCGCUGCACACAUAUCAUAUUGAAAUUGAAAUAGUUAUAAACCACAUGCACAUCUCGCCUUGCUGAUUCGAUGACCGCUUCUGCAUCCUGGCUUGGUCUUCACGCACCAGUUCGUGCCCCCUGAUAUAAAUGAUUUUUGCUAUUUCAUCUAAAAAACCCAGUUAAGCUUCUUAAUGAUGACCAAGCAGAUCCUAGAGGGAAGUGGUACUAUAAUACAAUGCGAGUUGAAAAGCACAGCUACAUGUUUCAAACACCUUUUGGAUUACAAUAAUUCGCAUGGAAGCCCGUCUUAUUCAUCAGUACAGCAUCCUCAAGGAAGCUGAUCAAUGGAACUACCAGUAUACAGAAAUGCCAUUACAUAGGUGAAAAUAGAACAAACACUACUCAUCACCGAGACUAUGAUGGUGAAUCUGUACACUAGGAUAAAAACUAAGAAAACACAGAAAUCCAUGCUGCGUUUUCAACGGAGGAGCAAGUCAUUUCCUUAUUCGAAUCCCAGGGACAUCCUUCAGCCCCAUCUUCAGUGCGGUCUUCCGAUAUAUCGCUGGAGGUUUCUCCAAGCCGAUCGAGGCACCAAAUCGAUUUGCUAAGUCGGCAAGCAUGGUUUUAUCUCUACCUAUGUCAGCAAUUGAGUUGUAGUACCCAAGCCAGGCAUGGUACGCUGCUUCUUUGAUGCUCAUGUCAACAAUUUUUAUUGAAUCGUCAACCUGCAUUGCAAAGCGUGAAUAAAAGUAUGACAAUGCUGAAUUAGCUGAUCGGUGACUAUUUAAUCACUACAAUAUAAUGGGGCAGCAAUUAAACAGUGAACUGAAUAGCGUGAUGAUGACAUAAAACAUCAGAAAAGCUGUUGUGGGCACAUGUGCAAGUACUGUUUUAAAUGUUGUUCUCGUAAGCAUUAACGAUAGAUUGCAUGAUGAGAUGAUUAUAGGACACAAUAGGCUAGUUCCUAAAAUAUAACAAGAACACAAGCUAAGUUAGCAAUCUGGACCUUUUGUUUCAUCUCCUGACCAAUGUCUGGUGCUGGACACUUCUCAAUCGGGAGAUCACCUAUCUCAUUCAGGAAAUAUUGUUCCCAUGGUGCAAGUAAAAGAAUUCCUUUGCCAGAUUUACCUUCCCUUCCAGUCCUUCCAAGCCGAUGGAUGUAAUGCUCUCUAUCAGGAGGAACACCAACCUAAUCCAAGAACCAUGUAUGUCAGUUCAGCAAUACUGAAGCACAGCAAUGUAAUCAUGCCACACAACUGUAAGAGUUAGACGUCAAUUCUCCAGUUGCUUAGGCAAAUAAAUGGUAGUGUCAUAAACUUUCUUCAGCUAUACAAUAAUCAUGAGUGGAAUUUCACCUGAAUCACAAGGGUGACAUCUGGAUAAUUCACCCCACGAGUAGAAACAUCUGAUGUUACAAGAAUUAAGCGAUUAGAGCCCCGGAACUCUUCAGAUAUGCGAGUUCUAAAAAGCUGAGGUUUUCUUGAGUGAAUUUCCCUGACAUUUAACUUCAAAUCUCGAAGCAUGAUAUACAUAAAUUCAGUCACCAUGGCUGUCGUGCAGAAAACAAUAACCUGAAAUUUGAAUAUUAUUAGUAAAACAACACACUGAAGUUCUUACAACUGGUUGUCUGAAGAAAAGGAGAUGCAGGACCUUGUAAUCAACUUCACGAUCAAUAUGCUCUUGAAGUAGGUGAUGAACCAUAUGAAAAUGCAGCUCAUGUGGUACCACAAGACAUGACUGCUGAACCUAAGCCCAACAACAGGAGGUAGAAAUCGGUCAACACCAAACAAAAUUAAUUUACAGAGAAUAGAAAAGAAGGCUAAGUGGCUAACAGAAGACCACAAACUUCUAUUUUAAGCUAGACAUGAUUUACAAAUACAACUCAUGUAUCCCUAAAAAAGGCAUGAUGGUAUAAUAUUCAAAUGGUCAAACUAAAGAGUGGAUAAUAUAUGGCUCCAAACAUGUAUAGGUGUGUAUCAAGUAUCUUAUCAGAAUAGUAAGAGAGCCAAAUAUUUUGAGGAGAAAGAGUAUACUUUAGUUUCGUUUAAAAAAAUAAAAUAAAGAGUAUACCUUAGUUGGGGUUUCAACAGCUCCAAGGCCCACUGUGUCAACAAAAACGUGAUCCCUCUUUAAUACUAGCUGUGAAACUCUUCGAACCUGUCAGUCACAACUAGCAACCAUUACUCCCAGUUUUAUGAUUGUGGUUCACAGAUAUAGUAUAAUAUAACACAGAUGGAGUUAGACAAAAAUACACAUAUAUUGGUGCACGAGCUAUGCUGAUUAUUAUACUACCUCUUUUGGAAUAGUAGCUGAGAAGAGCAGUGUUUGUCUUUGACGUGGCAAGCUAUCGACGAUCUUUUCUAUAUCUUUACGGAAACCCAAAUCUAGCAAAUGAUCAGCUUCAUCCAACACAAGCAAUUUCAAUCUCAUCAAACGGACAGAGAAUGAUGAUUUGUUUUCAAUGUGAUCCAGCAGUCUACCAGGUGUUGCAACUAAAAUCUGGAAUCAAAAGAAGGAAACGGAAAAUCGUCAGGCUAAAUUAAGUUUUGUCUUGAUCUUCAGUAGGUGGAUAAAUAUUAUAAACCUGGCAUGGAUCAGAUUCUAAACGUCUCUGAUCAAGCUUGAAUCUAGUGCCACCAAUAAGAGUUUGAACACCAAUUCCUUCAUGGUAUUUCAACAAGACAUUUGCUUCAGCUGCAAGCUGAAUAGCAAGCUCUCUUGUAGGGCAGAGGACAAGAACAAAUAUUGGAGAUACUCGCUGAUUUGUAUUGGUCUUCAUAGCAUUCAAGACUGAUUCAAUUGCAGGAAGCUGUUAAUCAAUCCAUUUUGAAUAAAUUGGUUGAACAAUAUGAACAUCAAAAGAAACAGAAUAUCUGAACCUAAUAUAUCAUGAGUGAACAUUACCAGAAAAGCUGCACUUUUGCCGGUUCCAGUUUUGGCCUUGACAAGAACAUCUUUACCUGCUUAUAUAUAGUAGUAUAAGUGAGAAAUUUGAUGACUUCAGUUAUAACAUGUUCUGAUAGUUCAGGCAGAGAUAUAACGGAAUACUAUCAUAAGGUCGAAGUCCUAAAAUGAAGAAAUACUUAAGUCAAGCAACAUGGACCAUAUGCUUAUGCUUAAAGAAGAUAUCACAAUGUACAAACAAAGAUUUAACAACCUGACUUCUUCAGAGAGGUACAUGCAUAAGGUUACGAGGGGCAACCUCAACCCCAUUCUGACACAUGUCCUCAAAUUCUUUUGAACCCAAAUGCAUGUUUUCUUCAUAUCACAAAGUUCAUUAUUUUCCUUUUUUUUGUGUAAAAGAAACUUGAAGAGAAAGUAAAAUAAAUAUAGUACCUUCAAGACAAAUAGGAAGAGCUGCCUCUUGCACCACAGUUGUAUGUACAUAUCCAGCAUCAGUAAGUGCUUUGACUGUCAGAGGGGAGACACCACACUCAUCAAAUCUGAAGACAAAAACAACAUAACUUGCCGGUUAUAUGGAUGCUAUCUCUUUCAAUUUUCAAAGUAAGACAGGACAUGCAAAAUUAAAUUUAUUAUUCACCAAUCAUUCAUUAACCUUGAGUCAAAAGGAAAAGUACCAUGAUGUGCAGUGAUGAGCAAUCUAUAUUGCCUCCACUCUUUGCAUUAUUGUUAAUUUUUAUAUUAAAGGUCAAUGUCAUGAUAAAACGGAACUCCAGAAGCUGAACUAGAGGAUUUCAUACAAUAUGAUGCACACAUUUCAAGAAUACUUCAUUGUUUACCCAAACCCAAGUUCAUACAAUAUGAAGCUCCUGGGCUACACAGCAAAUAUAAACAAUAGCAUAUAAUGAAAUAUGAGAGUGUGACCUUUUACUGGUAAGCAGAGAUUCACCCCUGGACUCGUAACGCCUCCUUUCAGUACCCAAAACCUCCCUAUUUCUGAUCUCCUCUCGCAGCUCUCGGAUUCUACCUGCGAGAUCAUUACUUUCCUCCUCGUAAUACUUGAGCACCCGCCUUUCCUUCUUCAUAUCACAGUUCCUGAGCGCAGCACUGCUCCAUCUUCUCCUAAUGGCACCUGUGUCCCCAGACUCAUCAAUUUCUGAAUCCUCUUCGCUCGAAGCCCCAAACUUUCCAAAUCUCAGAUUCCUCUUGGGCGCAGACGUACCCUCAUCAUCAUCAUCUGACGAAUCCGGUCUCCAUUUCCUGCCAAAUCGCCUCGCAGCCACUGAGUACAGCCUCUCCUGAUUAAACAGCGGCAAUGGUGCCUCCCUCCUUCCAUUCCCAACCUCAGUAAGGCCCCUAGCAACCAAUGGCCUGAGGUCGACACACGGCUGCCAACUCACGGAGCAAGGAGUCAUCACCGAGUAAGACCUCUUGGGACCAACAAAACGGAGAGGUCCCGGAUUCCAACGUGGGCACCAGGGUGCCACCACCGUUAGGUACUCUCUUCUCGGAUUGAACGCAGCCAAGGUCGGCCCCUUUCCCCUGUCUAAAGGCUCCUUCCGAGGCCUCGGCUGCCCCAGAGCUAGGUCCUCCCAGUCCUCCCAGCUCGGUCCUCCGCGGGGCUUCCCCGAGUCCAACUGCUGGUGGUGGUGCCGGACACCCGACGCGAUGCCAGUCGGCGGCCGCUUGGCGCGGCGGAGGGGCCCGUCGUCCUCGUUCCAGAGGUCCUCGGCGCCGGGCCUGCGGAAGCGGUCGGCGAGGGCGCGGAUGUGGGCGCGCGACGAGGUGGGCCCCUCUCCCUGCGGCGGAGCCUCCGCGGCGGCGCCCGGGAGGCGGGAGGCGCGGAUCUCGGAGCGGAGGCGGGCGAGGUAGAGCUGCUUCUCGUGGCGGAGGAGCCCCCGCUGCUUCUGCCGCGCCAGCUUCUCGUGCAUCCUCCUGUACUGCCACUUGGACAGCCCUCCCGGGAACGUGCGCGGUCCGCCCCCCAUCGCCGCCCGGGAGCAGCGACGGCGGCGCUGUAGGGUUUAUCGCUCGCUGCUGGGUUUUGGCGGCGGCGGGCGGCCAAGGCAAUGCAACAAACUGUGAAGUGAUGAGAGAGAAGAGGAGCAGUUACCAGUUAGGUUUCUGCUUUCAGCAGGAGUUGAGAGGUUUCCGCCUCCGCCACCAGGAUACUGAAAUGUGGGACCCACGGCUCGGCUUCAAUCCCGGAGACUCCCUCGCAAUCUCUCUCAGAGGAGAGGAGUGAGUUCACAGCAGAUGAGAUCUCUCGAGAUGGCGGGGGAGGAGAGGAAGCGGGUGCUAGUGGUGGGCGGCAGUGGCUACCUGGGCCAGCACCUCCUUGCGGCGUCCUCCGCCGCCGACCGCCUCGACGUCGCUUUCACCCACCACAGCCCCGCCCCGCCGCAGCCGCUCCUCGACGCGCUCCCCUCCGUCCGCGCCUUCCGCGCCGACCUCCGCUCCGGCGACGGCUUGGAGGCGAUCUCCGCGUCCUUCGGCCAGGUACUUAGGCAGUCGCAUUCCCAUCGCGCGCAACUCUCUGCUUCAUACGAACUUCUGCUCUCACUGAUUCAGUGAUUGACUGAUUGGCGAUUGCUUGUGCUUGGCUUAAGUACGUUACACGAAUCACGAGAUCAUCACUACUAGAGUACAUUUGUUCUCUGUUAACAGAGCAUGCUAACCUGUACCUGUUAUGUUCAGCCACACGUAGUUGUCAACUGUGCUGCCAUGUCAGUUCCUCGGGCAUGUGAAAUGGAUCCACCUGCUGCCAUGGCUACCAAUGUGCCUUCUUCACUUGUGAACUGGUUGCUAAGUUUUGGGAAUGAAGACUCACUUCUGAUUCAUCUCUCAACUGAUCAAGGUACAGCAUUCAUAAUCCUCAUUGUAAUACGUCUCUACUUCAGACAUUUUUUUUAUCUGUGUACGUGUAUGGACAUCCUAGACUCAAGUGUACAAUGAAAUAUGCCUCUCCCUCCUGUACGGUGCUGGCAGUUUAUGAGGGGGUGAAAUCCUUCUACAAAGAAGAGGACGAGACAAAGCCGGUGAACAUGUAUGGAAAAUCUAAAGUCGCCGCGGAGAAACUCAUUGUUGAGAGAUGCUCAAACUAUGCGAUCUUGAGAAGCAGCAUUAUCUAUGGACCACAAACAAUCUCUCCUGUGGCAAAAUCCCUUCCCAUUCAGGUAAAAUGCACUGCUCAGCACUCACCAAUAGUGUUAUGUUGUUCUCCCCAACUUAUAAGUAGGUAAACUCGUGUUGCUAAUGUUUCGGAAUUCAAACUGGUUCUACAGGACCAGAGCAGUAUCUAACUAAGAAAAGUACUUGGCAUUUGGAUGCAGUGGAUAGAUGGUGUUCUUUCACAAGGCCAACAGGUUGAGUUCUUCAAUGAUGAAUUCCGGUGCCCUGUCUAUGUCAAAGAUAUGGUGGACGUGAUUUUGUCAUUGACAAAAACUUGGUUAUCAAGUAUGAGUUUGACUUGUAGCAUUUGUGGAACUCAAUCAGUAGCAAUACUUUUUCUUGUGUUCAUUCUAUAAACAAUUUUAACAUGUUCCAGUUCAUAUAUAACGCUUCAAUAUUAGUGUUUUCCUAUUGGCAAUGUUUUCCAUUGUGCCAUGGUCACUGACAUCAAAGUGCAUGCUGCAGAUGGAGAAAAAGUCCAGGUCCUCCUAAAUGUUGGUGGUCCAGAUAGGGUAUCAAGACUGCAGAUGGCUGAGUCUGUUGCUGUUGUUCGUGGAUAUGACCCCAGAAUAAUCAAAUCUGUGUCUGCAUCAUCGGUAUUAUCUUGCCUCUGGAAUGUAGCAUUGGAGCAUCCAUACGAUAUCUGCCUGUUUAAUGUUAACACAUGAGUACUGUUAGAACACAGUUAUUCAACAAGCAUGGUGUUUUAGAUACAAGUUGGUCUUAACUUUACAACUGAAAUAGUAUCCAACAUUGAGCAUUGAGGCCCCUUUAAACAUUUUGCUUCCAUAUGCUUAUUUUUCCAUCAUAAUAUCUUGUAAUGCCCGGAUCUACCUGUUACCCAGGUUAAUCGAGGGGUAGCUUCUCCACCAGACAUAUCCAUGGACAUCACCAAACUAACCCAGAUUCUUGGUAUCAAGCCAAUCUCAUUUCGAGAUGGAGUCAGAAGUACACUUGAUGCAGAAGCCAGUACAUGACACUUCCUCAACAGUGUGCUUGAGUUCCUAGGGAGUUGCUUGCAUUCAAAUAUGAAAGUGUGACAGAAAAUCACAUUUAAUUUGCGAAAUUUCAGUAACAGUCAAUUUCUGUUGGAUUUAUGUGAAAUAUGUAACUUUGUACCUACUAAAGACCAAUGUCAUCAUCGGUGUUACUGCCUCAUUGUACUGUACCAUUAUGAAUAAAAAUGGCAUUCAUUUUAAAUCAUUUUUUCCAGAAAUGUGUAACUGUAUUGUGCAUGUAUAUUACAAUUUACAAUUUAAUGUUACCCUCAUGUAUUUGUUUUUAGAGUUUAAGGCUUUGCCCCUGUCUUAGCAUUAAGCAAAGACAAUAGCAUUCAGUUACAGCAUUCAGGUGGAUACCCUCAUGUAUUUUGAUUGUUUGGUAUUUUCAGAUUUGUUGCUUCCCAAUAUUUGGCUUUAAUUUCUAACCCUACCUUGGUGAGUUAGUAUUCUAUAUGGUGCAUAAUCCUGUAUUGGAUUGAAUAGAAGUGCUGGAUUACCUAUAUAUAUAGGGCAAAAUAUGGGCCUAGGUGACAUUGUCAUAUUCACACGACCAAUUCCCGUGAGAAGUGCAUUCUGCUUAUGGCCAAAGCAACAUGGUUUGACUCAAACCAUUGUCCUGUAGAAUGACCUAUUGGCAAAGCUAAGUACUGUUACUCCAGAGCUAAUCAGUCUUUUACAUGUAAUUUAUAGUAGGGUUUAGCACCUGUGGCACGAAUAAAUUGCAUUGCUUUUGACCCUAUUGCAGGGACAUGAGAGGGCGAUGGGCGAAUCACAUUCACAUGUGCCUAAACCUUAUAAUAGCUAAAGUCAGUACACCAACUCUUUGGCGCAACUCUACCACGACAAGCUUCCUCAGCUCUGCAGAAACUGCAAAAUCAUAUGAACAUGCAUGCAUAUAUUGUACGCAGCAAAGAUUGAACCACUGAAAAAUUGAGCACUCACACUUGCUUUUUAAACCAUGUUUUCUUCUACCACUUUCUGCAAUUUUUAACAGGUCUUGUUGCUGUAGCAAGCUUGUGCUGACAGAUCUUUGUUCGCACAUCAUCAAAGUAUGACGUGCAGACUGCAUCACUGGACAACCUUGCCAGGUAAGCAUACAUAUUAAACCUGUGUAUGGUAUGCCUGUAGAUUUCCAGUUAAUCUCCAGCUAAAGCAGCAAAUGCUCAUCAAGGGUACUAAAUUUGGUUGCUUGAUAAUAAAUUGCCAUUAACCCUGCCUGUAGUGAGACACACUAUUAAUGAAUAACGCAGCAGCACGGAUCGAUGCAGAGACACAUCAAUUAACAAUCCAGCACGUCAAAUGGGAAUCAAUAUUGUCCUGUCAUGGUUCUUUUUUUCUUUCCCCUGUUACCAGAUCUGUUGAACCUUGCAUCGACUUGACCAAACAGUAGACAUAGAAAAAUAUAACUGAUGUCUUCUCUGCCAGUCUGUAGUCAGCUGCCCGUUCCUGCUUCCCUCCUAAAAAGACGUAAUUUGGAUUUGUGCGUUGUCAAAUUUUCAAAAUUUAAUUAAGUUUAUAGAAAAUAUUAUUAAUGUUUAUGACCCAAAAUAGUAGUAUAUUGUGAAAAUAUAUUUCAUGAUGAAUCCAGCGGUACAUAUUCAAUAUUAUAAACAUUAGUACUCUUUUGUAUAAUUUUUUUAUCAAAUUUAAAAUUGUUUGACUUCUAAAAAGGUGACAAUUGCAGGGUUUUUUUUUGAGGUGCGGUGGGGUGUAUUUUGUAGUCACUCUGCUGGUAAUUGGAAUUUGCAAUGCUUAGAACUCGAUUUGGUCCAUCACAUUGAACUGCCCCAUCCAGGUUCAAGAUUCUGCCAGGAUAAUGGCCCUGCAUUUUUAACACCUUAGUUCCUCUGAAGGUCAGCUUUACAUUUGACACUUGUGCCUUGUCCCCUGCAGACGCUGCAGUGUUUUGGUAGAUUAUUAAAGAUUACUGAGCACUGGUCUUGAUUUGGAUUUCCACCAGAUGUGGAGCCUAACCGGUUGGUAGGGAUACCAAUGGUGUUAUGUUAGCUUAAGCUACCUUGCGUUGAUACUCUAAUCCCAGGGCAGCAGGGCUGUUUUGAGGUGAGAGUGAGAGGGAAGCAGAAGCCAUCUUACCUCUCAAAGAACAAUUGCUUGUAGCUGCAACCAAAGUCUGCUGGGGGUACCUUUUCAAAGGACCAUUGGUUGCUUGCUUGAUCAGGCUACAUAAUAACAUGCAAGGAAACUGUCACAAACAGCCAAGAUUGUCAGUCAGUAACCUCUCGGCCUAAGCAUUUCUUUAUUAUGCCCACAUGAGUUUCAUGAAUCUUUCCGUAUAGGCCUUGGAGAAAGAUACCAGGCCCUUGUUUAGUUCCCCAAAAAUUUUGCAAAAUUUUUCAGAUUUCCCGUCACAUCGAAUCUUUAGACGCAUGCAUGGAGUAUUAAAUAUAGACGAAAAUAAAAACUAAUUGCAUAGUUUGGUCGGAAUUGAUGAGAUGAAUCUUUUGAGCCUAGUUAGUACAUAAUUGGACAAUAUUUGUCACAAACAAACGAAAGUGCUACAGUACCUAUUUUGCAAAAAAUUUUGGAACUAAACAACCAAACCUCUUCAGAAGACCCUGACAGCUAAACAAAGAGGGCUGAGGACACAUACUUCGAAGUUACCUAAACUUUAACCUAGCACGACCUCUAGUUCUCUGUUUCACAUGGCUACAGCAUUGUUACUGUAACAGUGGAAGUCAGACUGGCCUGAACCCAAAGUUUAAGCUGAUGGGAUACCUGGCACUGUGUCUGACUGUCUGUGUACAUACUUCUUCAUGUUCAUUCACAAGCCACCAUGUAUAGAUCAAAAUAUAGCUGCUAAAUACACCCAUGUCCAAAAAAAAAGAAUAUUUGUAUAGCUUAAGUCAAACUUAAGUUGGAUUUAUAGAAAAUAUUAUUAAUAUUUGUAUCUUCAAAUAGAUUUACUGAAAAUAUAUUCUAUAGUUCAUUUACACAUCAUAAAUAUUAGUACCAUUUUCUACAUUUUUAGAAACUGAAGGAGUAGACUGAAAAAAAAAAGCAAAAUCUAGAAAGUUUUUUUCGAGAUCGUGUCAUUCACCCGUUUUUUAUUAAGAGAGAGUUAAAACAAACAACAAAACAGAGUCCGACGGCGAGUAGCCAUCGGUGUAAGUCCGAAACAGUUCGUCUAACUACUGGAUCAGACUUCCCUAAAAAAAAACUACUGGAUAGGACAGUACUACAGUAGCCAUCAGUGUAAAUCUAGAAAGUAGUAGUAAUUUUUUUAUUAGCAAACCAAACGCGUUGUCAUCUAUGAAGAGUUAACUGGACCAUACCAUAGGAUCGAUGUAGGUUCAUCUAUUUCUUGUUGCCGGUGUCUGCACCCCACGGGAACAGGGUAUGGACUCUGGACCCCCAGCUAAAUCCAUAUUAAUACCCUCAGACGGUCAGACCCUUGCCUCCCAAAGACCUCUUUCUCUCUCUCUCUAACAUAUGCCAUGGGGAUGAUGUUCUUCCGGCGGCACUUGGUCUCUUGCAUCCUCCUGCUCUUGCUAAUGUCACACUUGCCAAACUCCAUCCUCGGCUUGAGAACAUUGAGAGGAGAGGAAGCGAAGAGCGAGUUGAGGCGCCAUGAACACGAGCUUCCGCCAGCCGUAUCUCCUUCAAAAGAGGUGGACAACAACGAAGCUGCCGCCGCCAGUAAGUUCACAGUCUCAAGAAGAAUGGUUCCUCAAGGUCCAAACCCUCUCCACAACUGAUGAGAGGAUCGAUCGGAGCAGCAUGCUACUCUGCUUCUAGUAUGGUCUUCAGCCAAGGUAGCAGGCAGCUAGCUAGCUAGCUCUUCUCAUCAGUCUCAGCUACGGGUGUUGUGAGUGUGUCAUGCACUCAACAAACUACUUCUUCUUUUUCUUUUAGCCUAGAUGUCAUAUGAAUGAUACAGAUGGAUGCAUAUAUAAGUUGAAUACUACUUACUCCCCAUGUAAUAAUGUGUUCUUGUUGCAUUGAUUUAAUCUAUAGGCAGCUUUGUACAUAGAUUUUUAUGAUAUUAUUAAGGUGUAAAAGUUGUUGUGCUAGAUGGAUCUAGACUUUGCACGUUUAUUUACACAUGGCUGUAAGGUUGUACUCCUGUGUUAUGUUACUUAGAAACAACAGAGAUUUCAGCGAGUCAUAUAUGGUUUAACAGGAGAGAGGGCCGGGUGAUUUAGACAGUGCAUGCGGUACUGUAUGGUUGGGAUGGUUACUUGUUUGUUUUGUUGUGUCAAGGAAAUUAAAGGAAGGUGUGAUCUCUUCUCUUGGUAGUUAAAGGGCUGCCAUCUGCAGAAAAAGAAAGAGCCGUCUGCUAGCUCCUGUGGUUAGGCGUUAACAAGUGGUUUUGAGUGGUCUCGCUCAGUCGGAUGCAAUUGGAACGGAAGCACAAGAAAGUAUACCUUGUAAACUCAUGCUUGAAGGAAAAUGGAAACCAGAUUACUUUUCAUAACCUGUUUGUUGCCAUCUUUUCAGACAAGAGAAAAGAUGGCUGAGGUUGGUUGGAGAAAUUUGAAUGUGGUUUUUAGACAAGCUGGCUACAUACUGGCAGGAGGAGAGAAAACAAACAAGUACCAGCAGCAUGGAGUAGUGAGCAGUAUCGGUCAGCGUCUCCCCCGCAGGACGCGCUGACGGGAUGGGACAGUGAAAUUAGGUGCAGAUAUAUAUUGUUUAUUUAAUUAUCUAUUUUUGUUUCUGUUACCCGAGUGGGUUACAUGCAUGGCAUGACGCUGUUGAAUUUGGACCCAUCGAUCAUGAGUAUGGUCGGCGUGCCCUUUUAACAGUGACUAGUGCACAGUAUUUCUAGUCCAAUGGCACUCAAUUUGGAACAAUUAGUAUAUACGUACAUGAACUUUGUCUGUUUUGUUUUUCUGUGAAAUAAAGUAAUUUCUGUCAAUUUUUCUGUAAUUCCUGUGGAAUUAAACUCGUACUACUACUACUACUACUACGUUUCAAAGGAUCU
RNAcentral lists this long non-coding RNA (82520 nucleotides) under Sorghum bicolor (sorghum). RNAcentral's name for it is "long non-coding RNA (SBIC_LNC007497)". Lineage: Eukaryota; Viridiplantae; Streptophyta; Magnoliopsida; Poales; Poaceae. The record is from RNAcentral.